Molecule: long non-coding RNA, 57116 nt
Filed under: Triticum aestivum (bread wheat)
Lineage: Eukaryota; Viridiplantae; Streptophyta; Magnoliopsida; Poales; Poaceae
Description: long non-coding RNA (TAES_LNC024909)
Source: RNAcentral
AACACCGCCCAACGGCCGAGCUCCUGGAUGUGUUGGUCAUUGAUGUUUCCGAUUGGUUCCCAUCCAUUCUCUAUUGCCGUGUUCCACAAUUGGUUGCCCAUCCGUUCCCCACAGCCUAUGGCGGGUGAGCCGAUGGCAUAGAGGAACGCAACAACGAUGAUGAGGAGGAAGCUAGAUGUCCUCAUGGCUAUUGGAUUGUCUAGUGGGGUUCUUGAUCUUGAGAUAUUUAUGUGGGACUUUGGUGAAUUGGUGAUGUGAGUGGAUCCAAAACAAUUGAGGUAGCGGUGCUUAAAUAGACAUUGUUAUAAGAGGCAAACAUUAAUUGGAUGCUUAUCCAAGUAGGCAUUUACAAUGGCAUUUAUGACAACCUUUUAUACGGGGGCAAACUUUAUUCAAAAGUUAAUCAAUUGGAUCCAUAUCCGAAGGCUUUGACCUACUUAAAUUUAGAAAGGUUUAAAUACAUGCUUUUUAGAUGGUUGUAUUUCAUAGCAAAGGUAGUAACUAGUGCACCCACUAACAAGUUUUGAGUAAUAUCUUCUCCAUAAAAUGGUCAAAACUUAAAUGAAUUGGCCUAAGAUAAAGAAGAUAGGCAUUAUAAACUCACAAAAGGCAGUAGAAAGCAUGUAUGUAAACCUUUGUAUGAAAAUACACUAGUACAGAAAUGGCUAGCCACAACUUUUGUUUGUGGUGCGCAAUAUCCAACAAGCACCACCACUAUUUUUGUCCAAAUAGUGGCAGGGUUGGUAAAUUUGGUAGGACAUCGAUAUACCCUUAGUGUUGGCAUUGAAUUAUUUUAGCACGACAUUGAUGUUUUCUGAGUUUUUUUGGGCUAUACUUUGCUAUGGCGUGGCCUGUUAGGACCAUGCUGGUGAUGACCUACUAGUAUAGGGGAUCAAUAAUAGUCCUUUCGAUAAGUAAGAGCGUCGAACCCAAUGAGAAGCAGAAGGAAAUGAUAAGUGGUUUUUAGAAAGGUAUUUUCUUCAAGUGUCGUAAGUAGUAAUAACAGAUAGUUUUGUAGAAAUAUAAUUCGUAAUAAGUAACAAGUAACAAUAGUAACAAGAGUGCAACAAGGUGGCACAAUUCUUCUUAUAUCAAAAUACAAGCCGAAAGUUCUUCUUGUAAUGAGAAAAUCAUUCUUAAGGACACAUGGGAAGUCUCGUCUAGUCACGUUCAUUAUGUUUAGUUGAUUCUCGUUCACGACUUUGAUAAUUUCAUAUGUUGGUGGACCGGUGCUAGGGUGCCGUUCUUACUUGAACAAGCAACCCACUUGUGAUUACCCCCUCUCGCAAGCAUCCACAACUAUUAUUAUUAGUCAUAAAAAAAUUACGGGAUCAUAGUAGGUGCUAAAGAAUAAAUAUAGCAUAGGAGAGCAGCAACAAUAUCGAAUCCAUAUAUAAAGGACUUUGAAUCUCUUGUUCCACGCAGAAAAAAGGGCACGAAGUAACAGCGACAGAUUGCAUUGACUGAAUAAUAAAUUAUCAGACCAAAACAUGGCGUACUUAGAUUAUUUCAUGCUUUUGAAAUUUGAAAGUGUAUACUGCAUGCAUCAAAUUCUAUUAUCUCAUGAAAAUAUGGCAAUUAAAGAGUGGCAGCUAGGUAGUAGUAACCAUCUAUUUUAUGACGUGGAUCAAAGAGAAUCAAUCAUUAGUUGCUCAUGUGAGUAGUAAUAGAACGAGGAGACUAACCUUAGAGGUGUGUCUGCUGGGAACAUAGUAGGCAUUAAAGUAAAAUAGCAUAGCAGUUUGUGGCCUGCGGCAAAUAUGUAAGAAAGAGUGGAAAUUUUGUCAGGCCAAUUAUUUGCCAGUGCGCUCCAUUAAUCAUAACAUGAGCCAAUCCUUGUAAAUACAAAAUAUCAGGGAGCGCACGCUGCAUGAGUUCAACACCAGCUUUGAUGCCUUAUGUACCGGGAUUGAGGGAGUAGUGGUAGUCUCUCUUGCACAAAAUCAAUUGAGGGGACAAAUUCCUUGCCAUGUUUGGCAAUUGCUUGCUACUUCUUGAGCUUGCGUUGGUUUUUCCCUUGAAGAGCAAAGGGUGAUGCAGCAAAGUAGAGAUACGUAUUUCCCUCAGUUAAGAACCAAGGUAUCAAUCCAGUGGGAGAAGAAUGCGCAAAUCACCAAUACCUACAAAAACAAUCAAACACUUGCACCCAACGCGAUAAAUGGGUUGUCAAUCCCUUCACGGUCACUUCCAAAAGUGAGAUCUGAAAGUAAAAGAUUGCAAAAUAGUAGAUAGGAAACUAAUAUGAUGGAAAAUAGACCCGGGGGCCAUAGGUUUCACUAGAGGCUUCUCUCAUGAAGGCAAUUAAUACGGUGGGUGAACAAAUUACUGCCGUGCACUGAUAGAAAAGCGCAAAGUUAUGACGAUAUCCAAGGCAAUGAUUAUGUAAUAUAGGCAUCACGUCCGUAUCAAGUAGACCGACUCCUGCCUGCAUCUACUACUAUUACUCCACACAUUGACAGACUCCUGCCUGCAUCUAGAGUAUUAAGUUCAUAAAGAACAGAGUAACGCAUUAAGUAAGAUGACAUGAUAUAGAGGAAUAAAAGCAAUAUGAUGUAAACCCCAUCUUUUUAUCCUCGAUGGCAACAAUACAAUACGUGCCUCGCUACCCCUACUUUGUCACUGGGUGAGCACACCGCAAGAUUGAACCCAAAGCCAAGCACUUCUCUCAUUGCAAGAAAAACCAAUCUAGUUGGCCAAACCAAACCAAUAAUUCUAAGAGAAUUAUAAGGAUAUCAAAUCAUGCAUAUAAGAAUUCAGAGAAGAUUCAAAUAAUAUUCAUAGAUAAGCUAAUCAUAAAUCCAAAAUUCAUCGGAUCUCGACAAACACACCGCAAAAGAAGAUUACAUCGGAUAGAUCUCCAAGAACAUCGAGGAGAAUAUGGUAUUGAGAAUAAAAGAGAGAGAAGAAGUCAUCUAGCUACUAGCUAUGGACCCGUAGGUCUAUGGUAAACUACUCACGCUUCAUCGGAAGGGCAAUAGAGUUGAUGUAGAUGCCCUCCGUGAUCAAAUCCCCCUCCGACAGGAUGCCGGAAAAGGCCCAAAUAUGGGAUCUCAUGAGAACAGAAGGUUGUGGAGGUGGCAAAGUGUUUUCGUUGAUGCUUCUGAGGGUUUCGGAAUAUUUGUGAAUUUAUAGGACGGAGAAGUAGGUUCGUGGAGUUACGAGGGGCCCACAAGGCAGGGGGCGCGCCCAUCCCCUAGGGCUCGCCCUCCACCCUUGCCGCCGCCUCGUGGCUCUUCUGAGUUGCACUCCAAGUCCCUUGGAUGUCUUCUGGUCCAAGAAAAAUCAUCGUAAAGUUUCAUUCCAUUUAAACUCCGUUUGAUAUUCCUUUUCUGCGAAACUCAAAAACAAGGAAAAAAUAGAAACUGGCACUGGGCCCUAGGUUAAUAGGUUAGUCCCAAAAAUAAUAGAAAAUAGCAUAUUAAUGCAUAUAAAACAUCCAAACAGAUAAUAUAAUAGCAUGGAACAAUCAAAAGUUAUAGAUACCACUACAAAAAAAGACACAUCUGUGACAUUUUGGGCCGAACAGAAAUCUUUUCUGUCAUACUUAUGACACUUCUAUGACGAUAAUUGUGACAAAACCCAGUAUCAUCAUAGAUGUGGUGGGGUCCUACUUCUAUGACAAAAAAUCAUGACAGAAAAUGGGCUUUUCGUCCUGGGCGGGCCGGAGACGCAGUUGCAUGACAUUCUUUGGGCCGUCCAUGACGGAAAAAACCGUGGUACAAGCGAGGGCGCAGAAAAUAUCGGGGAGUCCCCGGUUACGGUGGGUGGUCGGGGGCCGAGCGAUGCGCGUUUCUCUCGUACAUACGCGCGUGUGUGCGAGGCGUUGGGCUCUAACUGAACCCGAGCAAGGCGUUGGGCUCUAACUGAACACGAGCGAUUGCACUGCAGGCUACGCGUUACUGAACCCGAGCGAUCGAUCGAUGGCUGUUAACUGAACUCGAUCGAGCGAUUCCUUCGCUACUGCUGCUAACUGAAGCCGAUCGAUGCUGCCUCUGGAUGAACAGUGAGCGUUGCGGGGAGGGGGGGGUGGGUUGGAUGAACAAUUCCCGGUGGGGGUGGAUGAACAGGACCCCGUGGUGUUGCCUCUGGAUGAACAGUACCCCGAUCGAUCGAGCCGGUUGGGGCUGGAUGAACAGGACCCCGUCGAGGGUUGGAUGAACAGGACCACCCCGUGGAGGGCAGGAUGAACAGUAGACGGUGGAGGGCAUGAUGAACAGUAGCCCGUGGAGGGGUGGUUGAACAGGAGCCCGUGGAGAGGGCUGAUUGAACAGUAGCCGGUGGAGUAGCGUGCGGUGGAGGCUGGAUGAACAGGAGCCCAUGGAUGAACAGUCGUAGGUGGAGGCUGGAGGAGGUCGACGGUGGAUGAACAGUAGCCCGUGGAGGCUGGAGGGGGUCGACGGUGGAGAUGAACAGUAUCCCAUGGAGUCCCGUUUUGCGGUACGCCACACCCCUCCUGAUGAACAGGACCCCCGUUUCGACCGUAGCGCUCCAACACAAGUCCGUUUCCUCUGUUUUGCGGUACGCCACACCCCUCCCGAUCAACAGGACCCCCGUUUCGACUGUAGGAGGUCCGUUUCCUCCGUUUUGCGAUACGCCAGACCCCUCCCGAUGAACAGGAUCCCGUUUCGAACGUGGCCGGUCGAACACAAGGCCGUUUCCUCCGUUCUACGGUACGGCACGCCUCGUUUCCAUCGGCUGUUCCGUCCAAGCCCUCCCGAUGAACACGACGACACAUUCCGUUCCGACCUAGCCGGUUGGCUCCCCAUGAACACGACGAUGACGUUGUUUCUCCAUUCCGACCCAGCCAUGUACACAAGCCCUGGCCGUACGUAUGCGCGAGUAGGCGUUCGAGACCCUGCCCAUAUGUACGUACGUGGCCGUAUUUUCUUUCUUGCACACUGGCCGCUGUACGUAUGUGUACAUGCUACGUGCGCGCCUCUACAUCGACCAGUAUGUACGUACACGUUCGCGACCAGAAUGACAACGCUACGUACGCUUCGACCAGGUGGGUCCCGACUGUCAGGCACUUCCUUGCCUGCGAAGAUGUAGUUGGUGGGUCCCAGCAGUCAGGGGGCGAAUCAUUUUUUUUGCCCGGACGCACUUCCUUGCAUGCGAAGAUGUAGCUGGUGGGUCCCAGCAGUCAGGGGGAAAUGUUUUUUUUUUGCGAAAUACGGUGGCCCGUCCGGUGGGUCCCUGCUGUCAGGUGGAGGAAUAAUUAUUUUGCACGUAAUAAGGAGGCACUUCCUUGCUGUGGCCGUGGACCCAGCUGUCAGCCUCUCCACGUACAGUCCACGUCCGAUGGAAGCCGUUCCUUGACCACGUUGACCACGCCGCGCCGAGAGCACCAGGGCGGUGGACGACGGCGAGGCCUAGGAAGGGGACGACGCGGAGCCGGGGAAGACGCGGCAGUGGAAGCCUGCACGGAGAGGAGUACGAGGGUUCACUGGUUCGGCUGCGGUGUGAGGCUGCCGUCGCCGCAGGGCCUGGCCAGCGGUGGGAAUAGUAGGGGGCGGUGAGGCCUCCGUGGCAGCACAGCCGACCACGGGAGGCAGGAGGAUGCGGCACGACCGGCGCUGCUUUGGGCGGUUGGAGCAACAAGACCAGAGGUUGAAGAAGCACUACGGCCGUUGGAUGGACAUCGUACGGUCACUGGAGCUAGAAUCGUUCAUAUUGACUAAGUUGACAAAGUACUCCGUCCCCGUCAACUUAGUAGGCCCACAAGUCAGCCUCCCACCAAGGUGGGUCCCAACCAACAGGGAGAGUAUUCUUUUUUUAUGCAUAAUAAGGAGGCACUUCCGGUGGGUCCGAGCUGACAGCGGGGGGAACGUUUUUUUCCCGCAAUACGGUGGCCCGUCCGGUGGGUCCCAGCAGUCAGGGGGGAAACGUUUUUUCGCGAAAUACGGUGGCCCGUCUGGUGGGUCCCUGCUGUGAGGUGGAGGAAUCAUUAUUUUUCGCAUAAUAAGGAGGCACUUCCUUGCUGCCGUCGUGGACCCAGCUGUCAGCCUCUCCACGUACAGUCCACGUCCGAUGGAAGCCGUUCCUUGACCAUGUUGACCACGCCGCGCCGAGAGCACCAGGGCAGUGGACGACGGUGAGGCCUAGGAAGGGGACGACGCGAAGCCGAGGAAGACGCGGCAGUGGAAGCUCGUGCGGACAGGAGUACGAGGGUUCACUGGUUCGGCUGUGGUGUGAGGCUGCCAUCGCCGUGGAAUAACAGGGGGUGUGGGUGAGUAGAGGGAUGGCCUGGCCAGCGGUGGGAGUAGUAGGGGGCGGUGAGGCCUCCGCGGCAUCAUAGCUGGCCACGGGAGGUUGGAGCACGUGGCACGACUGGCGCUGCUUUGGGCGGCUGGAGCAAGAAGACCAGAGGUUGAAGAAGCACUACGGCCGUUGGAUGGACAUCGUACGGUCACUGCAGCUAGAAUUGUUUAUAUUGACUAAGUUGACAAAGCCCUUGGUAGGCGUCAACUUAGUAGGCCCACGGGUCAGCCUCCGAAACGGUGCACCCCAGAUGUCAAGGGGAGGAAUCAUUUUUGGGCGGCUGAAGCAAGAAUAUCCGAGAUUGAAGAAGAAGCACGACAUCCGUUGGAUGGACAUCCAACGGCCACAGCUGCCAGAACCGUGUGUUGUUGACAAAACCUUGCAUACGCGUCAACUUAGUUUUUUUUAGGGGACGCGUCAACUUAGAAGGCCCACAAGUGUGUGGCAGAGAACAUAUAGCCCAUUUGCGAUUUAUAAGAAUGUACAGCCAAUUUUUUAAUUCUAAUGGAAUUUACUACAGCCCAUUUAUAGUUUGUUAAAAGUACAUCCCAUUUUCUAGCUAGGACAACGAUUAAUAAUUUCAACCAACCGCUCAAAAUAGAAUUCAAAAAAAAUUCCCACAUUUUUAUGGGAUCCCAAAUAUUUUAAUCCGAAAUUUCUAGUCAGAUUAAAUAUAAUUUCAAAAUAAAGUUGUAUUACGUUAAAAUCCAACGAAAUAUUGCGCGCGCAACAAGUAAUGAAAUUAAAAAUUUCAAAUUCCAAAAAUAAUAUAUUUUUUAAACUAAUUACGUGUUUGGUGCAUCUUUUUAUAGUUACUGCCCAGUUAUUAUAAUUACAUCCCAUUUAUUAUUUCUUAAAGUCCAUUUUCUUGUUAAGCCUAAUGCAUACCUCCUAGGAAAGUUUGCAGCCCAGCGGGGCGGAGAAUAACAAGUUGACCCGGAUAUUGUGUACAACUGUCGGCCCAGUUGCAUUGCUGAUGUUGAAAAAAAAGGCCUAUGUAGUAUAGUACAACCUAACAUGGCUACUCAGCCCACAUUCAGCGACGCCGGAAAGGCCCAAAAAAGGCUUCUGUACAACUUUUUGAAGUCACUGAGCUCAAUUAAUAACUUAAGAAAAAAGUUAGAUUACAGUGGAACCUAAUUAAAAGCUGUCACGAGCAAAGAAAUAAUUCAACGGGUCCCACUUGUGUGCGUGUGUGUGUGUGAGAGAGAGAGAGAGAACCAUCGGUCGAUACUCGUAAAUACAUCUUUCGGCCAUAUGCAUUGCUGAUGCUCAGUAAAAACUUAUAUAGUUGACACAAUCAUAUAGAACAUCAUAGCACACUUAACUUGCAUACAAAAAUUUCACGCAGGCGACACAAUCAGGAUGGAAGCAGUGGAUCGCUACGGGUAGGGCUAUGUUGAAACCAACGAACUCGUACAUAACGGUUCAUCUUCUUUAUCAAUGACAGGGAAAUAUCUUGAAUGCUGUGCAAAGAAAACAGACAAACAACACAAUAAGUUCUGCUAGCACAUUAAGUUGACGUACAACCCUUUCUAAAAAAUGUUCAGGUACAAAAUUAGAACAAGUCACAAUCAAAUGUAGUGGCACAUCAGUGCUUCACACCCAUAGCUCGGAUUUAACUAGUAUCUGACAAGAUUCAGUUGUUACCUCAAAUUAGAGCACAUCCAGGCAGUCAGCCCUGCCUCUUCUCCCAAAGAAGCAGUGACCUCCGCCGCGCGAUGGAGUAGGCCCUGUGCCAUCCAUCGUUCCGAGCAACACGGGGAAAGUCUGACGUUGACUCCUGUAAUGGACGUCGUCGACGGACCCUGGCACCAGCGGCGGCGGCAGGACUUCGAUUGAUGGAUUGACCACUUCUUCGACAUGCACCAACACUCGAUACAGGUACAUCCCUAACGUGGUCCGCGAAGGACUUGGUGGCAACGAAUAGUACAACCUCGGUUCCUGCACCGGUAUCUCAACACCAAUCACCUUGGGUAUGGUGGACGGCUUCUUCAUCCAUGCCAUAACCGUCAGAGCCCAGCUAUCUGGAGGAACAAACAUACUUACGAGCUCACCUCCAAGGUCGUUGAUAAGCUCAUUCAUGGACUCGCUGUUCCAAGCACGUCGAGGCAUGCCGUGGAAGGUAAGCUUUGUUAAAAACUCAAGCUCAGAGGGCACUGAGCCCCAUCCUGGGUGCCAUCAAUCAAAGCUCACCAGAGCGCCAUCGUAGAAUAAACGCCGGGAAGAUUCGAACACACGACUGCAGUCGAAAGUUGUCCGGAACCUGACGAAGAAAUCAGCCAGUGGCGGACAGACUUCGACGAGCAAGUCACUUAUUUGGAUGCCGUGCGCAAUGCCAAGAGCUUUGACAAGGUCGUCCGGCGAGUCGGGAGGCCAGUCGCCGUUGAUGGUUACAAGCAGCACUUUGCCGGCAAACUAGUCGUCAAGCGCCGCCAUGCCACUAUUGAGCGACAACAUGCAGCGACCGAAGGCAGGACGGACCUCAGGAUCUCCGGCUCGGAGAUCCGCGUUGACCGGCGACAUGAUAGUGAGCUUGAGUACAGGGAGUACAGGAGGGGGAUUUGGGGGAACUGGAGUACGAAUCGAGAUUCCAGAGGUGGGGGAGGGGCGGGAGAUUGGGGAUGAAAAGGUAGCUUGAAAUUCGAACACGCGCCAAUAUGCUCUCGGCGCGCAAGCGCACGAAAACACCGGUGGCGCCCACAUGUCGGCCUAAGAGUCCUUAUUCUUUCUUUUUUGGAGAGCCCGACCUUUUUUUAGGAUCUUUUGAGAGCCCGGCCUGAGAGUCAUAAUUGACCUGUUUGGCUUGCGUUACUACUCGGCCCAUAUUCAACGACACCUCACUGGCCCAAACAAGUGUACAUCAUCGAAAAGACACUGAGCUCAAAUUAUAUAACUUGAAAAAAGGAGAUACACUCUGAACACUGGAGAAUGGUGAUGCCCUCAUUUAGCCCACCAGUAGUUCGAGACAAUAAACAGUUCGAAACAACGAUAUAUACAACAUUCAAACACUGACUAGUGACUACUACUCACAUAAACAGCAAGACAUGAUAUUUCAUAAGAAGUCUUGCUACACCACCAAAACGCACCCAUUUGCAGCGCUCAGACUCUUGUGAUCCAGACGAGAAUGACAUUCUAAACAGAGCCAACUAUUACAUAGUAAGAGUGACAUAGACGAGGAUGACCAAAUGACAAGGAAUAUGCAUAACAGAAGAAAGAACUACCCAUCCAGAACAAGCAGCAAAGACAACAAAGUCAUUCGAAGAGAUGAUCCAACACCAUCAUAAUUUGCAGCCCCGCUUCAGCGACCAAUGAUCUGGAGAAACCAGUACUCCACCCUUUCGAUACAACAGCCCAAUUACCUAUCAACCUGAAGGCUUGAUCCACAUAACUGCCUGUCGUAAUUGAGACAUCCAAGGAUCAAAGUUAAUCCGGAUGCCUUUGUCAUUCUCACCUUCUUUUGGCUGCAGGCUGUAUCGUUCACAAUCAGGGGAGUUUGCUCCCGAACUCCUAGGGCUCGCCGUGUAGACACAGUUUUCCAUAUAAAAUAAAGCCUCUCUGCCAUCAAGGUCCUUGCCAACGGUGAUCUCCUGGUUAAUCGGAUAACUGAGUCCGAGAAACAGAGAGUGUGAACCAAGGCUAUUUACCCGCCUCCAACUAAAAAAUCCUGAAGGCCCCAACAAGCUGGUAUCCUGCUCAUAGACGUAACAGCCACUGUCCGGAUACUCACGUAUUUCACGGUGCUUGUAUACAGUGUGGUUUUUGUAAUAUAACUUUUCCGGCUCAUGUCUCUGAAUGAUCAUCAGUCUUUUGCCGUCGUCUGAUCGAGCGAGGAACCAGUUGUGCUUCCCUGUUUUUGGCAAAGGUGGUGUGAUUACAAAGGGCAGUAACUGUAGGGACACUGCAUCAUAUCAAAAAGGACAGGCAUUGUUAAUGUAAGAUUAGCAUUGUUCAGAGUAUGAGUAGGAUAAUGCAAGAAACAACAUUGAUAUGUCCCUGUUGGAACUAGGAGGAAAAUACAGGGAAAUGUAUACUGGGUUCGAAAAUAUAGAAGUGCCAUGCAUGGUUAUACUCAUGUUAUCUCACAAUCGAUUCUUCACAGGAAACUACCAUGUCAUGCAUGUUAUGGAAUCAUGUUCUGUCCUCACAAACAAAUUCUUCAAGGUAACUAACAGCCCAUGCAUUGUUAUAUACUCGUGUUCUGUGGGCAAAAUUUUUGUGAGGAUAUUAUUCUAGCCAUUGAUUGCUGAAGGGCGAAUAUAGGUAUGUACACAUGGUAAGCAUUAGAGGAUUUCAUUACUUCCAAAUAUAGAGUUCUCCAUAUGCACAUUUACUUCCCUAAUGUAUGGUUCGAUGAAACCAACAGUGUGGUGCAUGUUUCUACAUCAUGAAAAUGAGGAAACUAACAUGGCCAUUGAUACACACUCAUAUUUAGUAGUAGUAUAUAGAUUACUGUAAAAUAAGGAGAAUAUCCAUAUAUUCCUAACCGUUUGAUUAUUCAGGGGUACAAAUUGGCUGUAAUGACAUGAUCACAAUCGCACGAAUUAACUCAUUCCAAAUAUAGCUGAUUGACGGCGUCUCUAAUACAUUGCCAUAGUUCUACUCAAAUUCUGCUCAAACAGGGAUAUGCCAAUCAUCACAAAAAGUUCAAACAGUGUCAUGGCGUCAUCAUUAACAUGAGACGGAAACAACUUACACGCGACGUCCCAGCAAUACAUGGUGCCAUCUGCUUUGUCGAUAGCGUAGAUGAUGCCAUUGUGUUCAAUAGCAUCACAGAAGUGUGUAUCAGCUUUGACGACGAUCCACUGCGAGCUGAGUUGUCUCCAUCUAAAGAAGGCACCGGCUUAAAGAUAGGCGAGUCCCUUGUCGAACAAGGAAAUUAGCUUGAAGUCUGCGUAAUCCGCAUGUCGUGUGGGCACUUGGCAUAUUACAAUCUUCUGCAAAACAAGGUCCGUCCAACUGAAGCGGUAAUCUAGAUGACUAGGACCGCGAUGGUAAUACUCCAUAUAAUCCAACGGAGGAAGGAUAAUCUCAUGGGAGGUCUGGAAGUUCACGAGCACCAACUUUUGACCGUCUUCUCUGAUGGCAGCCAUCCAGUGGGAGUUCAUGUCGACCCAGUACAUACCUGCCAAGAAGUUUCGGGCGAUGGUGAUCGGAUCGAAGUCGAGGGAAAUGAUGUACGGCGACCCACUACAUACCUCCAAAGAAGUUUCAGCUAAUGGAGAUCGGAUUGAAGUCGAGGGGCAUCAUGUACGCCUCCGUAUCAUGGUGAGCCAAUCUCGCAAGACCAGAUAGCAGCAAGUAGGGUGUCUUGAAAAGCUUAGGCCUCGCUUCAACGAUGGCCGUGUGCAUGCCCCUCGAGCAUGCAGCCAGCCGCAGGGCGCUCAACAUAUCCAUACACGAACAACAGAGGUCGAGGACGUCACUGGGGAGAUACUCCAAUCGCGGCUCAUAUGGAUCAUGCGCGGUUCGUGUUCGGCCAUGGUGGAGUUUGGAAGGUGGGGUUUUGGGGGGCUUGAUUUACGGGGGAGAAGGCUGUCGGUGCUGGAGCGGCUAGCAAGGGAAUAGUGGUACUGGGGGAGGCGAGCGAGGCGAGGGUAUGCGGGGGCACAGUGAGAUAAUGAAGAGUGACCUCAGGAUCUCCGGCGAGACGGAGAUGGAGAUGGAGUGGUGCUACGGGAGAGGGAGACGAGGCGAGGCAUGCUAUACAGCGGCGUUGACAGUGACUGCUGAUAACCCACAAGUAUAGGGGAUCGCAACAGUUUUCGAGGGUAGAGUAUUCAACCCAAAUUUAUUGAUUCGACACAAGGGGAGCCAAAGAAUAUUCUCAAGUAUUAGCAGUUGAGUUGUCAAUUCAAUCACACCUGGAUAACUUAGUAUCUGCAGCAAAGUAUUUAGUAGCAAAGUAAUAUGAUAGUAGUGGUAACGGUAACAAAAGUAACGGAAGCAAAAGUAAUAUUUUUGGUGUUUUGUAGUGAUUGUAACAGUAGCAACGGAAAAGUAAAUAAGCGAAGAACAAUAUGUGAAAAGCUCGUAGGCAUUGGAUCGGCGAUGGAGAAUUAUGCCGGAUGCGGUUCAUCAUGUAACAAUCAUAACAUAGGGUGACACAGAACUAGCUCCAAUUCAUCAAUGUAAUGUAGGCAUGUAUUCCGAAUAUAGUCAUACGUGCUUAUGGAAAAGAACUUGCAUGACAUCUUUUGUCCUACCCUCCCGUGGCAGCGGGGUCCUAAUGGAAACUAAGGGAUAUUAAGGCCUCCUUUUAAUAGAGUACCGGAACAAAGCAUUAACACAUAGUGAAUACAUGAACUCCUCAAACUAUGGUCAUCACCGGGAUUGGUCCCGAUUAUUAUCACUUCGGGGUUGCCGGGUCAUAACACAUAGUAGGUGACUAUAGAUUUGCAAGAUAGGAUCAAGAACUCACAUAUAUUCAUGAAAACAUAAUAGGUUCAGAUCUGAAAUCAUGGCACUCGGGCCCUAGUGACAAGCAUUAAGCAUAGCAAAGUCAUAGCAACAUCAAUCUCAGAACAUAGUGGAUACUAGGGAUCAAACCCUAACAAAACUAACUCGAUUACAUGAUAGAUCUCAUCCAACCCAUCACCGUCCAGCAAGCCUACGAUGGAAUUACUCACGCACGGCAGUGAGCAUCAUGAAAUUGGUGAUGGAGGAUGGUUGAUGAUGACGAUGGCGACGAAUCCCCCUCUCCGGAGCCCCGAACGGACUCCAGAUCAGCCCGCCCAAGAGGUUUUAGGGCUUGGCGGCGGCUCUGUAUCGUAAAACGCGAUGAAUCCUUCUCUCUGAUUUUUUUUCUCCCCGAAAGCAAAUAUAUAGAGUUGGAGUUGAGGUCGGAGGAGCUCCAGGGGGCCCACGAGGUAGGGGGCGCGCCUAGGGGGCAUGCGCGCCCCCACCCUCGUGGCUACGGUGUGGGCCCCAUGGUCUUCAUCUUUUGCAAGGAUUUUUUAUUAUUUCCAAAUAGACAUUCCGUGAAGUUUCAGGUCAUUCCGAGAACUUUUGUUUCUGCACAUAAAUAACACGAUGGGAAAUCUGCUGAAAACAGCGUCAGUCCGGGAUAGUUUCAUUCAAAUCAUGCAAGUUAGAGUCCAAAACAAGGGCAAAAGUGUUUGGAAAAGUAGAUACGACGGAGACGUAUCUACUCCCCCAAGCUUAAACCUUUGCUUGUCCUCAAGCAAUUCAGUUGAUAAACUGAAAGUGAUAAAGAAAAACUUUUACAAACUCUGUUUGCUCUUGUUGUUGCAAAUAUGUAAAGCCAGCAUUCAAGUUUUUAGCAAAGAUUAUGACUAACCACAUUCACAAUAACUCUUAGGUCUCAUGUUUACUCAUAUCAAUAGCAUAAUCAACUAGCGAGCCAUAAUAACAGAUCUCGGAUGACAACACUUUCUCAAAACAAUCAUGAUAUAAUAUAACAGGAUGGUAUCUCGCUAGCCCUUUCUGAGACCGCAAAACAUAAAUGCAGAGCACCUUUAAAGAUCAAGGACUGACUAGACAUUGUAAUUCAUGAUAAAAAAGAUCCAAUCAUACUCAUACCCAAUAUAAAUUAAUAGUAGUGGAUGCAAAUGACAGCUGCGCUCUCCAGCUAGUGCUUUUUAAUAAGAGGGUGAUGACUCAACAUAAAAGUAAAUAGAUAGGCCCUUUACAGAGGGAAGCAGGGAUUUGUAGAGGUGCCAGAGCUCGGUUUUGAAAUAGAGAUAAAUAAUAUUUUGAGCGGCAUACUUUCAUUGCCAACAUAACAACCAAGAGAUGGUGAUAUCUUCCAUGCUACACACAUUAUAGGCGGUUCCCAAACAGAAUGGUAAAGUUUAUACUCCCCCUCCACCAACAAGCAUCAAUCCAUGACUUGCUCGAAACAACAAGUGUCUCGAACUAGCAACAGUCCCAGAGGGAGUUUUGUUUGCAAUUAUUUUGAUUUAGUUUGCAUAAAGCAUGGGACUGGGCAUCCCGGUGACUAGCCAUUUUCUCGUGAAUGAGGAGUGGAGUCCACUCCUCUUGAGAAUAACCCGCCAAGCAUGGAAGAUACGGACAGCCCUAGUUGAUACAUGAGCUAUUCGAGCAUACAAAACAGAAUGUUUAUUUGAAGGUUUAGAGUUUGGCACAUACAAAUUUACUUGGAACAGCUGGUAGAUACCGCAUAUAGGAAGGUAUAGUGGACUCAUAUGGCAUAACUUUGGGGUUUAAGGUAUUGGACGCACAAGCAGUAUUCCCGCUUAGUACAAGUGAAGGCUAGCAAAAUACUGGGAAGCGACCAACUAGAGAGCGACAACAGUCAUGAACAUGCAUUAAAAUUAAUAAACAUCGAGUACGAGCAUGAGUAGUACAUAAUCCACCAUGAACAUAAAUAUCGUGAAGGCUAUGUUGAUUUGUUUCAACUACAUGCGUGAACAUGUGCCAAGUCGAGUCACUUAUAUCAUUCAAAGGAGGAUACCACCCCACUAUACCACAUCACAACCAUUUUAAUAGCAUGUUGGCACGCAAGGUAAACCAUUAUAACUCAUAGCUAAUCAAGCAUGGCAUAAGCAACUAUGAUCUCUAAUUGUCAUUGCAAACAUGUUUAUUCAUAAUAGGCUGAAUCAGGAACGAUGAACUCAUCAUAUUUACAAAAACAAGAGAGGUCAAGUUCAUACCAGCUUCUCUCAUCUCAGUCAGUCCAUCAUAUAUCGUCAUAAUUGCCUUUCACUUGCACGACCGAACGAUGUAAAAAUAAUAAGAGUGCACGUGCAUUGGACUAAGCUGGAAUCUGCGAGCAUUCAAUAAACAGGAGAAGACAAGGCAAUAUGGGCUCUUGGUUAAAUCAACAAUAAUGCAUAUAAGAGCCACUUCAACAAUUUAAUCAUGGUCUUCUCCUAUCGACCCCCAAAGGAAAGAAAAGAAAUAAAACUAUUUACACGGGAAAGCUCCCAACAGGCAAAAGAAGAACAGGAAAUCUUUUUGGGUUUUUCUUAAGGUUUAUUAAACACACAAGAAGAAAGCGAGAAAAAGAAAAUAAACUAGCAUGGAUAUUACAGUGAAAGAGUAUGAGCACCGACAUCUAGCAAUGAGUGUGUGUGAACAUAAAUGUAAUGUCGGAGGGAAAUACGUACUCCCCCAAGCUUAGGCUUUUGGCCUAAGUUGGUUUAUUGCCAUGGAUGGCCUGGCGGAUAUCCGUAGUUGUAGCCAGGGUCGUACUGACAUGAAGAAGACUCUGACUGCCACUGGCUGGCAGUCAUCUCCGGAUCCCAAAAGUAAUCAGACUGUCGUGGAGGCUCAAAUUGUGGUUCCGGCUCAGGGGCUGGUGUAGGGUUCCUAUAGGCGUAAAUGGCCUCCCACGGGAUGAGAUACGGGCCUGCAGAUAAAUUAAACAAGGAAGGAGCAGGCAAGGUAAUAGUCUCAGGGUGAUGUUUAUCAAAGAACAACUUGUAUUUAAGCUCCCCUUCCUUGUUCUUAACAAUAAAGUCAUGCGCUACCAUACUCUUAUAAUCUAAAUAAGCAUUGGGCAGGAAUUUUUCUUCUUUCUCAUAGUGCCUAAUAGGUAUGUUAUAAUGUGCAGCAAGGUGUGAAGCAUAAAUACCUCCAAAGAUGGGGCCCUUUGUACGGUUCAAACUUAACCGUUUAGCAAUAAUACCGCCCAUACUAACAGUGUUAUCGGAAAAUAAACCAUGGAACAAAAUGAUAAUAUCAGGAACACUAAGGUUACCACAGUUUCCGCGACCAAUCAAGCAACGACUAGCAAAUAUGGCAAAGUAGCGUUAAACAGGAAAAUGUAUGCUAGUGAUUCUUGCAUCGGAAACCUUCCUGGUUUCCCCUACAGUAAUGGUGUCAAUAAACCCGUCCAUAUAUUUACGAUGUGGUUCAUCUAAGGUACCCUCUAAGGGUAUUUUGCAAACCUUGCAAAAUUCAUCUAGUGGCAUUUUCUUAACAACAUCAUAUAAAUGAAACUCUACUGAAGGAGGUGAUUCCUUAGGAAAAUAGUAGAAGUUUUGCACAAAAGUAUUAGUGAGUAAGAGAUACUGAUGACGUUGGUCGCGGAGGAAGUCGGUGAGGCCAGCAUUCAUAGCCAAUGAAUAGAAAUCAUCAUAAAUCCCGGCUUCUCUCAAGAAAUCAUCGGAAGGCCAUUCACACGGCCGAACCUCCGCGGUGCGAGGAAAAUUAUAUUUGGGCCUCUGUGCUUCUUCAUUUUGCUUUUCCUUCGAGCUUCGGCUCGAUGAGCCCCUCAAAAAUCUCUUCAUUAUUUUCUGAAAAAUUCUGAAAAUUUUAGUAACUUCAAACAAAUGUAAAACAAACUCAACAAAAUUGAUAGCAACUACUCCUACAAGUGCCUAGAGACUAUAUCAAGCAUUAGAACCACUUGGAACCAUAUAAAUUUGACAUGCAAGCUCAAGAACAUGGUCACCUAGGCAGCACAAAUUUGCAAUGAAUAAAGCACUAGAACAAAAACUAAUUGGACCAAUGGAGGAGUCACAUACCAAGGAACAAUCUCCCCAAGCAGUUUUGUGAGAGGUGCUUUGAGCAAGGAGAUCGAAAAUCGCAUCAAAAUGAGCUAGAACUCAUGCUUGAGCUGGAUGGUGAUUUUUUGGGGAGGAAGAAGAAGUGUGUGGGUGCAGGAAUAAGUGGAGGGGGGCCACCGUGGGCCCACGAGGCAGGGCGGCGCGCCCAGGGGAGUAGUGCGCGCCCUCCACCCUCGUGGCCAGGUGCUUGCCCCUCCUGCUGUGUUCUCAGUGCCAGAUAUUCUCAAAUAUUCUAGAAAAAAUCAUAUUCCAUUUUUAGGGCAUUUGGAGAACUUUUAUUUUUGGGGUAUUUUUAUAUUGCACGGAUAAAUCAGAAAACAGACAGAAAAAUACUAUUUUUACUUUAUUUCAACUAAAUAACAGAAAGUAGAAAGAGGAUACAGAAGGUUGUGCCUUCUAGUUUCAUCCAUCUCAUGCUCAUCAAAAGGAAUCCACUAACAAGGUUGAUCAGGUCUUGUUAACAAACUCAUUCUGAAUAACAUGGAACCGGAGAAAUUUCGAAUAACACUAUGUUACCUCAACGGGGAUAUGCACAUCCCCAAUAAUAAGAAUAUCAUAUUUCUUCUUGACAGUAGGAAGAGGAAAUUCAAAACCUCCAGAAAUAAUCAAUGGAAUUUUUCCAAUAGAGUUGAUACUAUGAACUUGAGGUUGUUUCCUCGGAAAGUGUACCGUAUGCUCAUUACCAUUAACAUGAAAAGUGACAUUGCCUUUGUUGCAAUCAAUAACAGCCCCUGCAAAAUCAAUAACAUGAUAGAUCUCAUCCAACCCAUCACCGUCCAGCAAGCCUACGAUGGAAUUACUCACGCACGGCAGUGAGCAUCAUGAAAUUGGUGAUGGAGGAUGGUUGAUGAUGACGAUGGCGAUGAAUCCCCCUCUCCGGAGCCCUGAACGGACUCUAGAUCAGCCCUCCCAAGAGGUUUUAGGGCUUGGCGGCGGCUCCGUAUCGUAAAACGCGAUGAAUCCUUCUCUCUGAUUUUUUUCUCCCCGAAAGCAAAUAUAUAGAGUUGGAGUUGAGGUCGGAGGAGCUCCAGGGGGCCCACGAGGUAGGGGGGCGCACCCCCCACCCUCGUGGCUAGGGUGUGGGCCCCCUGGUCUUCAUCUUUUGCAAGGAUUUUUUAUUAUUUCCAAAUAGACGUUCCGUGGAGUUUCAGGUCAUUCCGAGAACUUUUGUUUCUGCACAUAAAUAACACCAUGGGAAGUCUGCUGAAAACAACGUCAGUCCGGGUUAGUUCCGUUCAAAUCAUGCAAGUUAGAGUCCAAAACAAGGGCAAAAGUGUUUGGAAAAGUAGAUACGACAGAGACGUAUCAACUGCACAGUGCACAAGGUGAGGCUGACUUUGGUAACCCGGACACAACGCCUGGACUGGUGUCACCUCGGGCGCAGGGUCUUGUCACUUCAUUGUGAGGACCGGAUGAAUAAUAGUAUUUUGACCAUCAAGUGUACCACAGUUGUACUACUACUACUAGUAGGAGUAGUAGGAACAUGAGUACACUCCCGUGCUAGCAUGCCUCUGGGUUCACUUCAUCCUCCAUCUAUCAUCCAUAUUGCGAGCAGAACCAAAUUCUCGUGCAUGCGGAAGCGCGAAGAAGGACUUUUCUUUUUUUGAGGAUAACCGCAUAUUCCUUAACCGUAGUAGGAACAUGAGUAGUACUCCCUCCGGUCCUCUUUUGUCUGUGCAUAACUUUUUUCAGUAUUUCUCUAAUUAGUCUGCGUAUAUACCCUUUUGCAUGCGCCCAUUUCCCUCCAUGCCCCACAUUCACAGCAUUAAUUAGCGUACGUGUAUUGUUGCCAUCGAGGAUAAAAAGAUGGGGUUUAUAUGAUAUUGCAUGAGUUUAUCCCUCUACAUCAUGUCAUCUUGCUUAAAGCGUUACUCUGUUCUUAUGAACUUAAUACUCUAGAUGCAUGCUGGAUAGACGUCGAAGUGUGGAGUAAUAGUAGUAGAUGCAGGCAGGAGUCGGUCUACUUGUCACAGACGUGAUGCCUAUAUACAUGAUCAUACGAGCAGCUGCAGCCCGACUCCAGCCAAUAAACUGCAGCAUGCAAGUGGGCCACUCUGUGCGCGUGGGAGAGAGAAAAGGAAACCGAAGAGCCCGUCCAAUCCAUUGCAUGCACCAGUCAAACCACCGCACCUCUCCUCAUGCAUGCGCAUAACUUCUCCCUUUUACUUCUCCAUCGGGAACGAUUUUCCUCGGCUUUUUCACUACUCCUUGAUCUUCAUUUGCAUCCAAACCACAGUGCAUUCACAUUGUUUUAACCUCUUUACAUCCUCCUGGAGUAAUUCCGAAGCCCCUAUAAAUAAUCAUCUUCUUCAGUUAGAUUAGCCAUCUAAUCCUAAUUCUCCAAACCAUAGCCCUCCGGUCCAGCGGUUCCAAAUGGCGAAAGAGAUCAAGAUGCAGGUUUUUAGCGUCCAACAUGUCCUCGUCGAAGGCUCGUUGAGCAUAGUUGCCACAGUCACCGACCACCCAAGGGUUGUUCGGAAGUGGAUCAACAAUGUAUCCAACUCCCUCCAAAAGGUGGAGAUGAAUGUCAUCGGUCUCAACGCAGAGUACAUGGAGCGUGCCACUGGGAAGAUCCAAUGCGCCGCUGUCCUUCAGCUGUGCCUCGAAGAUGAUGUUUUGGUGUACCACAUCAUACACGCGCCCUCCAUACCAGGUGAGCUUCACGAUUUCUUGUCUCGGGAGGACAUAUACUUCUGUGGGGCAGCCAUCGCAGGGGACAAACAGAAGUUGGAGCCGUACAACCUUGAUUUGAAAAGCAUCGCUGACCUACAAACCAGAAUAAAAAUUCAUGUAGAAGAUUGUGAUAAACCGACACGAUCCCUAUUCGAUAUAGCAAAUUUUGUGCUAGGAACAAAUCUUCAGAAGGGUGACGAGACGCUGGCAUUAAGGUCGUCUGGAUGGGAGAAUUAUCCCUUGAUGUACGAGCGGAUAAAAUAUGCUGCCCUCGAUGCCCGUGUGAGUUUCGAGAUAGCUGCAAGGUCCAGAGAGCUUGUUGCGAAGCCGUCUCCCACAGAAAAUGAGAAGAAGAAGAAGAAGAAGAAGAAGAAUAUGUUGCACCAGCAACAGGGCAUUAUGGAUGGAUGAACUGUUUCCUCUCUUCUAAAAAAAUAUUCCCUCUCUAUGUAUAUUGAUAUAGAUGGACUAUUUCGAUGGUGUGCAUGUCUUUGGAACAAGUAGUAGCAUGGGUUCGCUUGACUAUAAGGAACUAUUUAUCUGCCUAGCUUUCUCUACUACUCCUUCUAGUGAUCGGUAUGCAAUGCAUGUGUCCGUAGACAUGACAGCUUGUCCAUGGAAGUUCAACUACGGCGACCAUCACGUUUCAUCCACUGCCACUCGCGAUUCCCACGACGCCGCUCCAACCCACGGCACCACGUCCCCUGACGUGAGCCUCACCCCUCUCGGCCGCACCGCCCCUCUGCCUUUGUGUGCAUGACAUGUGGGCCACCUUAAAUGCGGCGAGCAUCAAGUUUCUACCACAGCCACACACGAUUCCCAUGACGCCACACGAACCCAUGACACCACACGUCCCACACCAUCGAAUUUUCAUAUAGCCAAGUUUGUAGCCAGCAAGUACAAUAGUUGAAUAUUAAUAUGUACUACUUUGUUGUUACAUGACCCACCUCGCUCUCUCAUAAAAUGCCUAGGAGCACGUGCUGCAGCCGGCUGUUAACUAGUAGCCCGCUUCUCUUCUCUUUCAUCUUCUCUCUCGUCCAACUAAGCAAAAAUAUAAUAUUUAAUGUCUUACAGCCCGCCUACAUCAGGCCGGGCACUAAGCCACUGAAGUUCGGUCCCGUGGGCCCCGAGAGGGAAAUGUAACUCCUGCAGCAGGCCUUGUGGUGCUCCCGCAGUACGAGCUCGUGCCAAACCCGGAAUUUGUUUCUUACUACUACCAACUACUAGUAAGGUACACGUGCAUUGCACGCAUGACAUUCUGGUGGUUUGUGCAUUAUGCUUCUACAUGUGGAGUCUUCUAGAUUCUACAUGUGGCAAAAUCUGGUGGAAUGUAGAUGAUAUCCAACGGCCAGUAGUGCUCGGAUUUGCCAUCUUUGUACCGUCGGAUUGGCUUCAUCCAACGACCAACUUUCAAAGUUAUGGUUUGGUUUGCAGCCUAAGGUUGCCACGCCUAAGCUUAGGCGUGCCACAAGUGUGUUUGGUUGUGUUCUCGUCUCAGCAUAGUUGUUCCCUCUUCAUGCAUGCUCAACUCAACACCCCUCUUCAUGUAUGCUCUCUUCAUGCAUGCUUCUAGUGUAUUUGUGCUAAUCUAGUGUGGACUCAUGCACCCUCCAUACACUCUACCAAACACCCAAAAAUGGGUCGAGAAGGGAACUCUUGGGAUCAUGCACCCUUCAUACACCCUACCAAACACACCAGGCAUGUAUUUGGUUCAUUGCUACACUUGUGGCUUGCCACACUUUUCUAGUUACAUGGUCCACAUGUCAUAGACUCAACUUCCUGCCAAAUCUUGCCACACUUGUGGUGGCCAUUUUGUCAGCCACAUUUUUUGUUUCAAACACACUUUGCCUAAGCUUAGUUGUGGCAAAGUUAGUCAUGAAUGAAGUUCAACCAUGGAGUCUUCUAGAUUCUACAUGUGGCAGAAUCUGGUGGAAUGUAGAUGAUACCCAACGGCUAGUAAUGCUCGGAUUUGCCAUCUUUGUACCGUCGGAUUGGCUUCAUCCAACGACCAACUUUCAAAGUUAUUCACACACUAUAUAGGGGGUAUAGAUAUAGAUGUGCCGGCCCGUUGCAAUGGAUCCAAAGUAUAUCUGUUUAGUGGAGUGCACUCUAAACACAUUAUCUAUUUACUUUUCUCUAACCUUUCGUAGCCAUGCAACCAAACCACAUAAGCUUCAUGGGUGCCCCCCACAUCAUAUUAUUCAUACUACGUUGAUAGAAAAAAAGAUAAAUCACCCAAAACAGGAUCUUCCCGUUUUUUGUUCCUACGAUGUUGUGCCGUGCACGUACCUACUAGUUGUAUAGUGGUAGUACUAGUUGUAUAGUACAAACUUGGUACUAGUAGGAGCAGAGUAGUACGGAAUGCUCCUACUCUAUCAACGAGCCCCAUCUGACACCAAAUUUCUUGGCCUCUGUGCUACAGCUAGAUCUUCCCCUCGUUUCUAAUUUCCAACCCGACGGCAGGCGGGGUGCGGUUUGCCAAUAGUCGGUUUGCUCAACGGCGGUCCCACAUGAAAGUGAAAAUGCUAGGCAACACGCCUUCCCUAAGCUAUGUGUCAUGCCGGACGGGCCAUGGAGUACUCCCGAUUCCCGGGCGUGUGGGGGGGGGGGAGUGCGAUGCAAACGCGGCAGGCCUUUUCCUUUUACUAGCAAUGUGCCUGUGCGUUGCGACGGAUCCAAAGUAGUAGAAUAGUAGUACUUGUUCACAAACUUGAAAGAAAUCACUCUUGUUUUGAUAUACUCCUAAUAUAUUACUCCCUCCGUUCCUAAAUAUUUGACUUUUUAGAGAUUUCAAAUGGACUAUCACAUACGGAUUAUAUAGACAUAUUUUGAAGUGUAGAUUCACUCAUUUUGCUCCGUAUGUAGUCACUUAUUGAAAAAUCUCUAGAAAGGCAAAUAUUUAGGAAUGGAGGGAGUACUUUUCACUCAAAAUAUAUUUCUUAGGCUGUUUUGAUGAGGUGAGGGAGGGAUGUGGUUGCUUUCAAGUUAAUAAGGGGUUUUCUGCAAAUUGGAGCAGAGAAGUGGGCUAUUGUUGCAAAAAUGCCACAACUUACCUCACAGCCGUUAGAUGCAGAUCUAAUGGUCAGAAAUGACGUAUGGCAGACACACCACCAUCACCAACUGAGUCUUUUAUAGGAGUAUAUAUUUCUCAGGCUGUUUUGAUGAGGUGAGGGAGGGAUGUGGUUGNNNNNNNNNNGAUCUAAUGGUCAGAAACGACGGAUGGCAGACACACCACCAUCACCAACUGAGUCUUGUAUAGGAGUAGGAGUAGAGAAACAUGUAUAAAUUGUAACAUUUUGGUUCUGCUCCUUGGCACGAUCGAUAGAUAGAAAUAACGAUUGGAAACGCUAGGGCGGGGCUAUUUCCGCCAGAUAAGCAGGGUACGUAGUAGCUAGGUUGGCGCAUCGUCGGUUUGGUCACACGCGGUCCGACAUGUUCUAGUGUUUCUAGCAAGAUGCCCGCGCGUUGCACGAAGUUGAUGGAAAAGGUAAGCACAACUUAUAAAUUGACGGAUGGAGUACUAGUUACAGUGAUGCAUAUAAUUAAGCAAAGGGAUCGCACAUGUCGGUAUUGACUGGAACGAGAAUGCAACACCACAAUAAGAAUUAAGGCCACGAUGAUGAUGCGAUCGCAGUGGUGGUUACAGAAGGCAAGAAGAAAGAUGCAUCCAUCAACGUACGACCUCCUCCUCCUCCUCAAAUUAGUGCGCCGGGCCACCGGCCGGCGGCGAAGGAGCGGUGGCUUUUGUGGCAAGGUCGAGGUGCUUCUCAGCAAAGGCAUCCAUGGCUUCCAGCCGGUUGAGGAAGGCCAACGUCAUAGCGUCCUCACUGGCCUUGUAGAUACCUAUGUACACGACUUGCUCGUACACGUGGAUGUGUAGGUCGACGAAUUCUUGCAGGGCGAGGCGCCUCGCGGCGAGUGCGACCUCCAGGUGGACAUUCUUCGUGGCGUCGGCGGGCAGUCGCAGGGCCACCAGUGCUUGAAAGAGGUUCCGGCCAUGGAGCCCGAUUAGGGUGGCAGGCAAUGAGGAGCCCGGGCGCGCGGGCUGGAGGAGUAUGGCGAUGUCGUCCGCGAGCUUCUUGAGGGCGGUGAACUUUUGGUGGUGGCAACGAUCAUCUGGUCCAACUGAGAGUCGUAGUUGGCGUCGACGGCGGCCAUCCACCAGCCGGUCUCCAACACCGUCUGGAGACGAUCCUCGGCGCCAUGCUGCAGGCCGACGUCGUGGACCAUCUGGCACAGCCGCUGGCCGCUCGCGCGCAUCGCCGCCAUGGGUCUGGAGUGAGCUCUUUUGCGCUUAGUGUAGGUGCUUGGGCAAAUGCUUAGGUGUGUAUGAUGUGGAGAUGCAUUGGAAUGGAGGGGCGCCUUUAUAUGAGGGCAAACUGCGUUGCAUUCACAUCGUGCAGCCUCUUUUCCCAGUCCUCCUCCCAUACUUCCCUCAUGCAUUAAUUGAAGGAGGAUGCAUUGGCUGUUCAACAUUUCGGGAACCGCUACUCCCUCGCUCGUCUGCAUUAAAGCCGUAUCGGGAACUGCGCCGCCCGCUGUCAAAUUGAAUAGUAGUAUUGCGCCGCCCGCUGCACACCCGGCUGAACACGCCUCCUCGCCUCCAUCAAACCCCUCCGUUAAACCCGCAUGCAGACCGAGAAUCCUACUCCGGCCACACGUCCGUUCAUGAACGGGCCGGAAUUAAACGCAACAUCGGCCGAGCUCCUCCCGUCCGCCCUCAGUUUAAACGAGGCCAGACGCCGGCCAAGCUCCUACCGUCCGCCCUCUAUUUACACGAGGCCAGACAGACAGUGGGCAAGAAUCACACCCCUCCGCCGCUCCCCCAUCUCCGCCUUCACCAAUUUCUCCACUCUUCUGAUGGCUUUCGAGGAGCCGUUCUCUGGCAUAUAACCCGGCUGGGUGGCCCGCCGAGCCCUCCGGAUACGGGCGAGGCCGCUCGGUGCUUCACCAACCUCGCUUUGCCCGACGGAGCCAGUUGCCGCCCCAAGCAGGCGCGUGGUUCAGCAACUUGCCGCUCCAGUUCAGCUCGAUGAGGAGUGGCGAGUUGCUCCACGCCGGCACGGCGGCGAGCACACCAGUACGGGCGUCGUCGCUGCCGUGUCGUACCGCGCCUCCCGUGUCUGUGGGCGCGCCUCCCGUGCCUGCGGCAGCGCCAUGCAGGCAGAGACAGAAGCCGGGUGCGUGGACAGCGACAAGUCGGUGGCCAGCUUUUCCGUGUCCGCCGCCAUCAUCGAGGAGGAGUAGAACACGGGAGGCCGCCGCCACUUGGGUCCCAUGAAGGCCACCGCCGAGGCGACGACUGCGCAUUCAGGUGGUUUCUUUGCUUCUUCGUCUCUUCCGAGGACCUUCGUCGACCCCGCAAAGUGUCUGCUGGGCAUGAGGAAGACAAAGGGAUCCGCGGGCGGCCAUUUAGAUUAUGUACUCCCUCUCCAGUUGGCGGGAAUUUUUUGUUCUAAGAAUGGAUAAAUUGUAUGUAUCUAUAAGUAAAAUAAGUCUAGAUACAUCCUUUUCUAGGACAAGUAUUUGCAGACGGAGGGAGUAUUAAUUAUACCAAGAUAGCCGGAUUGGCACCGCUUAGUUCAUGUAAAUGUAAUGAAAUCCAUCAUGUUUAUAUGAAGAUCCGGCUUUUUUAUGCGAAAUCCUUCAUGCUUAUAUGAAAUCAGUCCGUGUUUGUACGAAUUUCAUCUGGUUGGUUAGAGUUGUGAAAAUGUAUGCCGCUGGCGUUUGAUGUCGUCCUCCGCGGAAGGAAACGGGAGGAAAUUUGCCGGCUGCCGUUGGAGAUGCUCUUAUGCUAGAAAUAAUAGAGUGACAUCCAAUCCAUUUGAGUUAAUUGCGUGUAUGAUUGUCCCUCUAUAAAAAGUUAAUUGCAUGUACAGUGUACACGUGACUUGCAGGGUGGCUACAGCUUCGUACAGAAAUUUAAAAAGAAAUAAGUCCAUCCUUAAUCUUGUAUUCUAAGUACUCUGUGGGUUCCACUGUCAGUACAGUAGCGAAAGAAGUAUAUAUUAAAUAAGUAAUAUAUAAUAUAAAAAUCUAAAGUUAAAGACAAAAUUCGAACUCAUGUCAUCGCGUUGCGAGCAUCCGGCGCUAACCAGUCCAGCACAUUUUUGUUGUAGACCAUGCUGCUGAUAUAUCUCCAUGUCUACUCUUAUACUCCAUCCGUUCCUAAAUAUUUGUCUUUUUCAGAUUUCAAAUGGACUACCACAUACGGAUGUGUAUGUAGACAUAUUUCAGAGUGUAGAUUCACUCAUUCUGCUCCAUAUGUAGUCACUUGUUGAAAUCUCUAAAAAGACAAAUAUUUAGGAACGGAGGGAGUAGAAAACAGAGUUGGUGAUGAUGGUGUGCGUGUCAUCCUGCAAUAUAGGCCGUCGGAUUUAUAUCUAACGGAUAGGAAUAAAACUAUGGCAAUUUUGCAAAAAUUUACCCACACCCCUCUCCACGUUCGCAAAUACGGCCUUCCCUCGUUCAUCCUUUUCUCUCACAAGAUAAACUACUCAUACAAAUGCAUCUUGAUUUUCCGUGCAACGCACGGGCAUCUAGCUAGUUUCUUUUAAAAUAGUUACUGCGAUAAUUGGGUUGAAGUGAUAUAUUUUAUGUCUGCCCCGAAUGAUUUCGGAUUCACUAGUAGUAACAAAGAAAAGGUUGCCUUGUUAAUUAACAGAAAACGGGGUGAAAACUAUCACAUGACGCCUGUAAAAACGAGGCACACUGGGUUCAGCGUCAUCGUCACUAUAGCUGUGCGCGCGCGAGAAGUCUACAUAUCGAGGGGGCUACUGAGCGAGGCACAGAGACACAAUGUUCGAGAGAGAAACCAAUUGACAGAUUACGAUCGGAUUGAGUUGUCACCNNNNNNNNNNNNNNNNNNNNNNNNNNNNNNNNNNNNNNNNNNNNNNNNNNNNNNNNNNNNNNNNNNNNNNNNNNNNNNNNNNNNNNNNNNNNNNNNNNNNNNNNNNNNNNNNNNNNNNNNNNNNNNNNNNNNNNNNNNNNNNNNNNNNNNNNNNNNNNNNNNNNNNNNNNNNNNNNNNNNNNNNNNNNNNNNNNNNNNNNNNNNNNNNNNNNNNNNNNNNNNNNNNNNNNNNNNNNNNNNNNNNNNNNNNNNNNNNNNNNNNNNNNNNNNNNNNNNNNNNNNNNNNNNNNNNNNNNNNNNNNNNNNNNNNNNNNNNNNNNNNNNNNNNNNNNNNNNNNNNNNNNNNNNNNNNNNNNNNNNNNNNNNNNNNNNNNNNNNNNNNNNNNNNNNNNNNNNNNNNNNNNNNNNNNNNNNNNNNNNNNNNNNNNNNNNNNNNNNNNNNNNNNNNNNNNNNNNNNNNNNNNNNNNNNNNNNNNNNNNNNNNNNNNNNNNNNNNNNNNNNNNNNNNNNNNNNNNNNNNNNGUGACACUUACAUAUCCCUACUCUUAUAAAAAAACAGAGUUGGUGAUGAUGGUGUUCCUACCAUCCUGCAAUAUAGGCCAUCCGAUUUAUACCCAACGGAUAGGAAGGAAACUGUGGAAAUUUUGCAAAAAGAUACCCACACCCCUCUACGCAUUUGCAAAGAAGGCAUUCCCUCGUUCAUCCUUUUCUCCCACAAAAUAAACUACUCAUACAAAUGCAUCUUGAUGUUCGGUGCAACGCAUGGGCAUCUUGCUAGUAGGGAGAAGGAGUUUCUGUGACACAUAUCUAGCUAUAUUAAGGGAUAGGUAGAUAUCAUUUGUGCGAGGCAUACUUAAAGCAUCACGAAGAUAAAAACAAAAUUGUGUGCAUGCAAGUGCCGGAAAAAAUGAAGCGAGAAACAAUGUGUUGGAGAGAGAGAGAGAGCGAAAUCUCAAAACAAAAGGUGCUCUGUUGGAAUCCCAUUGUAUGUAUUCAUAUGGUUCCGGAACUCGAGUUAACCUUAGGCAUAUGUGUUAGAGACAUUAUUAUACUUUGAGACAUUAGUGGCUGUGGGUGGACGGAAUUAAAGGGGUGGGCGUGUUCGACAGAGAGAGCGUGUGUGUUUCUGUGUGAGAGACUUGUAGGACGGGGUGGAAAGACAAAUUCUAACCUUGACGGAGGGAGAGGAAUACACGAAGUGCGCGUGUGUGAUUCCGAUGACCACAGGGAAAUGAGAUAUGUAUGUGUGUGAGAGAGAUUGCACAAUUCAUUCACGUAACACUAUCUAGCGAUCGUGGAUGUGCAUCGCUUGAACAUAAAUCAAUAUCUACUUCGUAUCGUGGCCAAAGGUACAAUAUCGAUUCAACGCUAUAAAGAUUGGACACUCACAUAUCACAUUUUUUUCUAUUUAAAUAAACCUUUUCAGUUGUGCAUGCCAAAGUUACAGUGAUGUUUCUUCAAACAACCAAUGUAGCUAUCAUGUACAUGCACCAUUGUUACUCUUGCAUUCAAAAUCAUUAGUCUUGGAUGAUUUAAGGUUCUAUUAUGAAGUAAUAUGUGUAAUAUUCAUAUAUGAAUUCAACGGGUACGCAAUUAUGAAAUGGAGGCUAUGUAAUCAUAUGAUGUAACACUUUUAAGUAGCGGACUUCUUUUUGUGCGCCUCUACACUAACACGUGAAUGCAUUAUGUUUAAAGUAAAUAACCAAUUGCACUAAAUUAUCGAUUUACACGAGAAAUACAUAGGCUGAGCGUUUGAUCCCUUUUUUUGUGAACGCGCCACUACACCCGUACGAUUGGCCGCGCCCGUGUGAACGUCCAAGUUAUCGGCGCAUCAUCCCGCGUUAUUGUCUUUUUUUCUGGAGUAGACACACCGGUUAUUAACUGCUGACGCGUGCCCCGUGUACACAGUCUCGCAUGACCUUCCCGCUAGCACGGUCCAAAAUUAGUUGAAACUGGAUACGAACGAUCCCGCGGGCGACAAAAUAUCCCGCCUCCUUCUAAAAUUUCGGCCACCUUAGUCUUUAGCAUGCGAAAUUCCCCUUUUGUCCUUGGUGCAUGGAGACCAACAGUUACAAUACCGCCCUCAUCUACAUAAUAGGUCGGGGCUGCUUUUGUAACUUCCACUUCCCCCCACUACACGGCACCCCCGUUUCCUCUCCCCCUCCCGCAAAAAUGACUAACUCCACAGCACCAGAGCAUCUCACAUCACGCCGUCCGUACUUCAUCGGCCUUUCUCCCCUCCCCUCUCGAAACCCUAGACUACUCACUGCCAGCGGCGUCCACCUCGCCGGAUCUGCUUCUGCGGCCGCAUCUACCCCUCCCACCUCCCCUAGAAACAAGUAGACUGCUCAUCCACCACUGUACCACAGCCCAUUCAGUGUCGGCCUUGUCCACGGCACCGGAUCUGCUUCGCCGGUACUCUCGUCAACCGCAGCGCAUCUGCAGCGGCUCAUUCAUACUCCCCACCGGAGACGCUUCGUCCACACACCCCCCGGAGCCGCCCCACCGACGCCCCCAUCAACGGCCUCUGAUCCUCUUCGCCGACACCUUCCUCAACCCUACCGGAGCCGCUUCGCUGACAACAUCGUCAACCCCACCGGAGCAGCUUCGCCUAUACCAUUUUCAACCCUACCGGGACCGCUUUGCCAACUCACAAGUCCACGGCCUCAGAUCCGCUUCCUCGCACCCUCAUCCAACCUACCGGAGCAACUUCUGAUGCCCCGUCCACGGCCGCGGAUCCGCAUCGUCGAUACCAUCCUUAACCCAACCACCGGAGCAGCUUCACCUACGCCCUCGUCCACGGCCACAGAUCCGCUUCGCCCACACCGUAGUCCACCCUACCGGAGCCGCUCCACAAACACCCUACUCGACGGUUCUAGAUCUCCUUACCGGACCCCGACAGCCAGCACAGCGUCAUCACCGUUGACGUUUCUAACCUGAUUCCCACCGUCUGGCAAGAUGCCAAGCACCCGCCACGGCCUAGGUACUUGUCACCUUUAAACCCGUCCAACAUCACCUGCCCGAUGUACUUCAAAUAUACUAACAGGUCGCUUUUACCUAUUAUGCAGCUGGCAAAAACUACAAGGACGAUGUUUCUUCUGGAUCUAAUAGCUUGGCCAACCAAGAUCCUGGACCGAGGAUUGCUAUGAUCUUGUAAGCGUGUCUCUCUCUCUUGUAUUGUUCUGUGCCUGCCAGCGUGCUUUUCUAGGAUUUUCGACCAGUAAUCCCUUUGUGCAGACAAUGAUUUCUACUACUGGCUGCUAAAUUAGAUAUGUAGAUGUCAUACAUGAUACUACCUCGUACCUCCGUUCCUAAAUAUAGGUCUUUCUAGAGAUUCCAAUAUAGGCUACAUACGAAGCAAAAUGAGUGAAUCUACAAUCGAAAAUGCAUCUAUAUACAUCUGUAUGUGGUCCAUACUGGAAUCUCUAAAUAGACAUAUAUUUAGGAACAGAGGCAGUAGACACAAAAUCGUAGGUGGCAUGUAGGAAUUCCAGUACACUACAUUAGGCUCCCUUAGAGUGCCUGCUAGUCCAGCACACAGAGUCAUGGCUAGUUUAUGCUACGCACACAAUCAUUAAUUGGUGGUUUAAAUAUGCGCAAGGGAUAUGCAAUGUAUUAUCAUGUAGAGAUGUCUGAAAUUAGCCGUGCCAACUUGCAGAUUGGGUUACACAAUGAAAAAGUACAAGAUGUAUGUGGCAAUUUCAUGGAACAUCGCAAAAAAAAGGAGAGCCAGCGGUGAGCCUAUACAGUGUGCUAUGGUACGUCACUCCUCCAUUGCAAUCAUCGUGACAUGUUAUUUGUAUGUCAGUUCUAUUGGCCAAGUUUCUUAGGGACAGUUAUUACGAGUUAUCCUAAGAAAAUAAGCACAUGUGAAUAUAAGCUCCAUGUAAUAAGCCAACCAGUUCUUUUCAUUGCGUUUUCAGCUUAUCUUUGGUAUGAUAAGUGAAAAGUCUAGAUUGCAUUAUAUUUUUUCAUUUUGCUGCCCAUAUGAAAAUUAAUUUGACUUGCAAACAUCACAAAUUGAACCCAGUGCAGUAAUUAAUAUGGUAGGAAAAUAGACCAUCACUAUUUGCUCAAAAUGCAAAUACAAAGAUAUCAUCUACUUGGCCCAAUCUACUUUGGUCAAUGUUUUCCAUAGAGAUCCCAUUGCCUAAUUUAAACGAAAAAUGCAUGACCCACAUUUAAAUGAAGAACAAUUAUUUAUUGAAAUUCGAUGGUCCAAGUGGCUGGUUAUUAUCAUAUAGCAGCACCACCUGAAAGCAUCAUAUAGCAGCAGCAGCAGCUCAUAGCAACUCAUCAUACAGCAGCAGCAGCAGUGUGCAAUUCAUCAUAUACCAGCAGCAGCUCAUAGCAAUUCAUCAUAUAGCAGCAGCAGCUCAUAGCAAUUCAUCAUAUAGCAGCAGCAGGAGCAGCUCAUAGCAAUUCAUCAUAUAGCAGCAGCAGGAGCAGCUCAUAGCAAUUCAUCAUAUAGCAUCAGCAGGAGCAGCUCAUAGCAAUUCAUCAUACAGCAGCAGCAGGAGCAUCUUAUAGCAACUCAUCAUAUAGCAGCAACAGCAGCUCAUAGCAAUUCAUCAUAUAGCAGCAGCAGCUCAUAGCAAUUCAUCAUAUAGCCGCAGCAGCUCAUAGCAAUUCAUCAUAUAGCAGCAGCAGGAGCAGCUCAUAGCAAUGCAUCAUAUAGCAGCAGCAGAAGCAGGUCAUAGCAAUUCAUCGUAUAGUGGAUCAGAAUGAAAAUUUGGCAAAAAAUCAGAGGAGAUCCUCACCUUGUUGGAUGAGCUCAUCCUUCAACAGCACCUCAAGGCCACGGCCUGGGAGGUGGGGAGGGGGAAUAAGGUGCCUUCUGCCGUUGUGCAGCGCCUGCCGGAGUAGUGCGUUGGACGAACCACAGUGGAGCAGCUGCUGAAGACCAUGAGAAUGAGGGGCGGCACCAGAGGGAGGAGCAGCCAGGGAGAUUUCCCCCUUCCCGCCGGCCAUGUAGCCUAGCUGGACAGAGCAUCGUCGAGGACCAGGCCAGAUGGGACCAGUGGCAACGACUUGCUGGAGGAACCCUAGUGCUGCAGGCAGGGGAUCAAGGUAGAGGGACAGGGGAGAGGAGAUGCAAGCGGGCAGGGCAAUGAACGCUUGCGUGUUUGUUUUUACUUGAGGGUGAGGUGUGACGCGGGCGUCACCAGUUGCAUUUUGAGUGUAAUAUAGGCAGACAACAGAGUCAUUUCACUAUUCCCCUUCCCUUCAAUUUUUAGUGAGGUUCUACCCGAAACACCCCCCUCUAAAGCGAAAUUAGUUAAGCCCAAGCCCAUAACUCGAAAAUGACUUCUUUACAUCUUUUAUGGCUUAUUUUGACAAUAAGCUCUGAAAAGGCGGAAUAGAACUGGCCCUUAACCUGCAAUUCAAUUGUGCGUGCAAUGAUGAAUCACUCAUGCCUGCUAUAGUGUACAUUUAGGCAUCAUCAUACAUGGCAUAACCUAAUACAUGUGCAUUCCAUUGUAGAAUCUGGAAUAUGCAAUGUUUAUGUUAGUUCAUACGUUGCACAUGAUGUUUAAAUGCCCCUUAAAUCUGGUGAGUCAAGUGAUGGUCUUUAAGCCUCCUUCUUUGCUUCUUUUCUUGAUAUGUAAGAUUUGCUCACACAUCUGUUCAAUUGCUUGUUUGCAUCAGCCAGCCAUACUAGGACUGUUUGCUUUGAUUACUUGUUGUUCUUGACCUAGCACUCUAACAGAGCUUGUCAACGAUUUAAACACUAAGGUCUGCUGUAGUGGGGCCUUUUCUAACUCAUAGGUGACAUAAAGGUUUGGCUGUACACUAAAGUAGGCUCUCCAAGAGUACCUGGAGAUCCAGUUCGAAGGUAUGCCUAGUUUUUACAUAGUGCACACAUAGUAAAUGCUCAUUUCAUUGUGUGCAAGUGCAAGAGAUGCGACAUGUUUCAUUAUGUGGUGUUUUUUGUUAUAAUCUCAUCCUUUUGUGUUCACAGACUGAAAAGUAUGCAUAUUUAUCUUCCAAGGAGACGAGUAACUAGUUUGUGUCACCUUGCAGAGGGGGUGCAAUGAAGAUAAGAUUGAGGAUCUCCAAGUACAAGAUGUUAGGGAGGAGCCUUGCAAGAGAAGUAGGAGCCGCGCUGAGCCUCUUCAACCUGUUAAGGUAAGUCACUGUAUCCAACUCAACAGUUCAAUUCCUUGUUUGUUUCAGGCAUAGUUAAUUUGCUCUUUUCAAUUGCUUUAUUUGUCCUCAGUUAAUGAGAUGCCCAAAGAAUGAUGCCUGAUGUUGGGUACUUGUAUAACUAUUAGUUGACAUAAUUAAAGGCCUUACCAUUUAAUUACUCUGCCGAAGUGUGCCUGAAGCUUUGAAGUCUAUUAACCAACUAUUAUUGAAUGAGGCUCACAAUCUAGUUUAUACUAGGCUAAUGACUGCAUAGUUUUGCUUGCUGUAGUAUGUUUGUAUGAAAUCCUCUGCUGUUCAUUAUGCUCCCUAAGACUUUAAUUGAGCUACAGAAUGGCCAACUGCUUGCUUACUUCUACGCAACGUGCUGUCUAAAUUUGUAUCUUGUCUAUGUUUUGGAUUGGGCCCCAACAUCAUGCUCCUCUGGUGAGCUAAGAGAGAUUUCUGUAUGCAGGCUGCACAGACUACCUUUUUUAUAAUUUUUAAAAUAUCACCUGCUUAUGCUUCAUGACGUGUAACAUUAUUGUUAGUCCUUUUUUGCCAUGUACAAAAAUAGUCUGUCUUGCUCGCUUCACUGUUGUAACUAUAUUUUUGCCCUAGCCAUGUGUACUUACAAAAACAUUUCAGGAUGAAGUGACAUCAACACAAAGAUCUGCGAGCAGUGCGGCAUGGCCGUUACCGAAUGAUUAUGGAUUGGAAUUGGAAUGUGCUGAUGUUCUCGAGCAUCAACUAGAGGUGGCAAGACAAUGUGUACAUGAUUCUGAACGUACAAUCAACAAGUUGAGACUGGACAUGCAGGUAUUAGAUGCAGGAGUCAAAAAAAUGAAACAAGACACUGAGGUAACAACGAAGGAAUUGGAGAUUUUGCAGACUGAAAUUUGUGCUAUCUAAAUCCGACCAAUCCUAUUUUCUGAAGAGAUUAUAGUUCAAAUGGUAAGUUAUGUUGAUGCACGUCCAUGAUGUAUGAGCUGUAUUUGCCCAGUGUAUGUAAUUUGCUGUUUGUGUACGCUUUAUUAUCACUGGUGCCGAACCAUAGUGCCCAGUGGGUAUAAUCGGCUGUAAUCUCUUUAUUGUAUAGUGUAUGUUUUUUAGAGGUGAUAGUAUAGAGUAGGAUAAUUCUUUGAAUAUGCUAUAUCGUUCAAACGGGGGCCAACUCGCCCAAACGUUGUAUUGACUAUGGCCCUCCACAGGCCGUACGUUCCAUGGGCCAUCUACGGGACGGACGAUCCCUGGCCUUCUGUGGCCGUCGGAUUCGUGGGCCUUCUAUGGGCUGUCGGAUCCGUGGGCCUUCUAUCGGCUGUCGGAUCCUAAUACGUCUCCAACGUAUCUAUAAUUUUUUUAUUGCUCCAUGCUCUAUUAUCUACUGUUUUGGACAUUAUUGGGCUUUAUUAUUCACUUUUAUAUUAUUUUUGGGACUAACCUAUUAACCGGAGGCCCAGCCCAGAAUUGCUGUUUUUUGCCUAUUUCAGAGUUUCGCAGAAAAGGAAUAUCAAACGAAGUCCAAACGGAAUGAAACCUUCGGGAACGUGACUUUCAGAACGAACAAGAUCCAGGAGACUUGGACCCUACGUCAAGAAAUAAAGGAGGAGGCCACAAGGUAGGGGGCGCGCCUACCCCCCAGGGCGCGCCCUCCACCCUCGUGGGCCCCCUGUUGCUCCACCGAUGUACUCCUUCCCCCCAUAUAUACCUACGUACCCCCAAAUGAUCAGAUACGGAGCCAAAAACCUAAUUCCACCGCCGCAACCUUCUGUACCCACGAGAUUCCAUCUUGGGGCCUGUUCCGGAGCUCCGCCGGAGGGGGCAUCGAUCACGGAGGGCUUCUACAUCAUCACCAUAGCCCCUUCGAUGAAGUGUGAGUAGUUUACCUCAGACCUUCGGGUCCAUAGUUAUUAGCUAGAUGGAUUCUUCUCUCUUUUUGGAUCUCAAUACAAUGUUCUCCCCCUCUCUCAUGGAGAUCUAUUCGAUGUAAUCUUCUUUUUGCGGUGUGUUUGUUGAGACCGAUGAAUUGUGGGUUUAUGAUCAAGUUUAUCUAUGAAAAAUAUUUGAAUCUUCUCUGAAUUCUUUUAUGUAUGAUUGGUUAUCUUUGCAAGUCUCUUCGAACUAUCAGUUUGGUUUGGCCUACUAGAUUGAUCUUUCUUGCAAUGGGAGAAGUGCUUAGCUUUGGGUUCAAUCUUGCGGUGUCCUUUCCCAGUGACAGUAGGGGCAGCAAGGCACGUAUUGUAUUGUUGCCAUCGAGGAUAACAAGAUGGGGUUUUUAUCAUAUUGCAUGAAUUUAUCCCUCGACAUCAUGUCAUCUUGCUUAAGGCGUUACUCUGUUUUUAUGAACUUAAUACUCUAGAUGUGUGCUGGAUAGCGGUCGAUGAGUGGAGUAAUAGUAGUAGAUGCAGGCAGGAGUCGGUCUACUUGUCUCGGACGUGAUGCCUAUAUACAUGAUCAUACCUAGAUAUUCUCAUAACUAUGCUCAAUUCUGUCAAUUGCUCAACAGUAAUUUGUUCACCCACCGUAGAAUACUUAUGCUCUCGAGAGAAGCCACUAGUGAAACCUAUGGCCCUCGGGUCUAUCUUCAUCAUAUUAAUCCUCCAACACUUAGUUAUUUCCUUUGCUUUUUUACUUUGCUUUUAUUUUACUUUGCAUCUUUAUCACAAAAAUACCAAAAAUAUUAUCCUAUCAUAUCUAUCAGGUCUCACUCUCGUAAGUGACCGUGUAGGAUUGACAACCCCUUAUCAUGUUGGUUGCGAGGAUUUAUUUGUUUUGUGUAGGUGCGAGGGACUCGCGCGUAACCACCUACUGGAUUGAUACCUUGGUUCUCAAAAACUGAGGGAAAUACUUACGCUACUUUACUGCAUCACCCUUUCCUCUUCAAGGGAAAACCAACACAGUGCUCAAGAGGUAGCAAGAAGGAUUUCUGGCGCCGUUGCCCGGGAGGCUACGCGAAGUCAAGUAAAGACUUGGACUCCCGACAACGAGCCAUUUCUGGCGCCUUUGCCGGGGAGGUCUACGCAAAAGUCAACAUACCAAGUACCCAUCACAAUCCCUUAUCUCCUGCACUACAUUAUUUGCCAUUUGCCUCUCGUUUUCCUCUCCCCCACUUCACCCUUGCCAUUUUAUUCGCCCUCUCUUUUCCGUUUGCCUCUUUUUGCCCGUCUCUUGUUUGCUCGUGUGUUGGAUUGCUUGUUUGUCACGAUGGCUCAAGAUAAUACCAAAUUAUGUGACUUUACCAAUACCAACAAUAAUGAUUUCCUUAGCACUCCGAUUGCUCCUCUUACCAAUACUGAAUCUUGUGAAAUCAAUGCUGCUUUGUUGAAUCUUGUUAUGGAAGAUCAAUUCGCCGGCCUUCCUAGUGAAGAUGCCGCUACUCAUCUAAAUAGCUUCGUUGAUUUGUGUGAUAUGCAAAAGAAGAAAGAUGUGGACAAUGAUAUUGUUAAAUUGAAGCUAUUUCCUUUUUCGCUUAGAGAUCGUGCUAAAGCUUGGUUUUCGUAUUUGCCUAAAAAUAGUAUUGAUUCAUGGAAUAAGUGCAAAGAUGCUUUUAUCUCUAAGUAUUUUCCUCCCGCUAAGAUCAUCUCUCUUAGAAACGAUAUUAUGAAUUUUAAGCAACUUGAUCAAGAACAUGUUGCACAAGCUUGGGAAAGGAUGAAAUUAAAGAUACGUAAUUGCCCUACUCAUGGUUUGAAUUUGUGGAUGAUUCUACAAAACUUUUAUGCCGGAUUGAAUUUUGCUUCUAGAAAUUUUUUAGAUUCGGCCGCGGGAGGCACCUUUAUGGAAAUCACUUUAGGAGAAGCUACUAAACUCCUAGAUAAUAUUAUGGUUAAUUAUUCUCAAUGGCACACUGAAAGAUCCACUAAUAAAAAAGUGUGUGAGAUAGAAAAAAUUAAUGUUUUGAGUGGAAAGAUGGACGAACUUAUGAAAUUAUUUUCUACUAAGAGUGUUUCUUCUGUUCCAAUUGAUAUGCCUUUGUCUACUUUGAUUGAGAAUAAUAAUGAAUCUAUGGAUGUGAAUUUUGUUGGUAGGAAUAAUUUUGGUAACAACGCGUAUAGAGGAAACUUUAAUCCUAGGCCUUAUCCUAGCAAUUCCUCUAAUAAUUAUGGUAAUUCCUACAACAACUCUUAUGGAAAUUUUAAUAAGAUGCCCUCUGAAUUUGAGACUACUGUUAAAAAGUUUAUGAAUUCACAAAAUAAUUUCAAUGCUAUGCUUGAAGAGAAAUUGCUUAAAAUUGAUGAAUUGGCUAGGAACGUUGAUAGAAUUUCUCUUGAUGUUGAUUCUUUAAAACUUAGAUCUAUUCCUCCUAAGUAUGAUAUCAAUGAGUCUCUCAAAGCCAUGAGAAUUUCCAUUGAUGAGUGCAUUGAAAGAACCGCUAGGAUGCGUGCUAAGAAAGGUUGCUUUAUGAAAGUGUGUUCUUCAAAUUUCUAUGAAAAUAAAGAUGAAGAUCUAAAAGUUAUUGAUGUGUCUCCUAUUAAAUCUUUGUUUUGCAAUAUGAAUCUUGAUAAUGAUGAGACUGAAUAUGAUCCACCUCUACCUAGAAGGCGUUCUAAAAAUUCAGAGUUUUUAGAUCUUGAUGCUAAAAUUGAUAAAAGUGGGAUUGAAGAAAUCAAAACGUUAGAUAUUAAUAAACCUACUAUUUUGGAUUUCAAGGAAUUUAAUUAUGAUAAUUUCUCUUUGAUAUAUUGUAUUUCCUUGUUGCAAUCCGUGCUAAAUUCUCCUCAUGCUUAUAGUCAAAAUAAAGCUUUUACCAAACAUAUCAUUGAUGCCUUGAUGCAAUCUUAUGAAGAAAAACUUGAGUUGGAAGUUUCUAUCCCUAGAAAACUUUAUGAUGAGUGGGAACCUACUAUUAAAAUUAAGAUUAAGGAUCAUGAGUUCUAUGCUUUAUGUGAUUUGGGUGCUAGUGUUUCCACUAUACCCAAAACUUUGUGCGGUUUGCUAGAUUUCCGUGAUUUUGAUGAUUGCUCUCUAAACUUGCACUUUGUGGAUUCCAUUAUUAAGAAACAUAUGGGAAGAAUUAAUGAUGUUCUUAUUGUUGCAAAUAGGAACUAUGUGCCCGUAGAUUUUAUUGUUCUCGAUAUAGAUUGCAAUCCUUCAUGUCCUAUUAUUCUUGGUAGACCUUUCCUUAGAACUAUUGGUGCAAUUAUUGAUAGGAAGGAAGGGAAUAUUAGAUUCCAAUUUCCAUUAAAGAAAGGCAUGGAACACUUACCUAGGAAUAAAAUAAAAUUACCAUAUGAAUCUAUCAUGAGAGCCACUUAUGGAUUGCCUACCAAAGAUGGCAACACCUAGAUCUAUCCUUGCUUUUAUGCCUAGCUAGGGGCGUUAAACGAUAGCGCUUGUUGGGAGGCAACCCAAUUUUAUUUUUAGUUUUUUGAUUUUUUCUUAGGUUUAGGAAUAAAUAUUUGUUCUAGCCUCUGGUUAGAUGUGUUUUUAUUUUUUAAUUAGUGUUUGUGCCAAGUUAAACCUAUAGGAUCUUCUUGGAUGAUAGUUAUUUGAUCUUGCUGUAAUUUCCAGAAACUUUCUGUUCACGAAAACAAUUGUUAAAAAUCACCAGAAUGUGAUAAAAUACUGAUUCCAAUUGCUUUUGACCAAUAAACAAAUUAUCUAGGUCGUCCUAUUUUGGCUGAUUUUUUGUAGUUUCAGAAGUUUGCGUUAGUUACAGAUUACUACAGACUGUUCUGUUUUUUGACAGAUUCUGUUUUUCGUGUGUUGUUUACUUAUUUUGAUGAAUCUAUGGCUAGUAAAAGAGUUUAUAAACCAUAGAGAAGUUGGAAUACAGUAGGUUUAACACCAAUAUAAAUAAAUAAUGAGUUCAUUACAGUACCUUGAAGUGGUCUUUUGUUUUCUUUCGCUAACGGAGCUCACGAGAUUUUAUGUUGAGUUUUGUGUUGUGAAGUUUUCAAGUUUUGGGUGAAAGAUUAGAUGGAUUAUGGAACAAGGAGUGGCAAGAGCCUAAGCUUGGGGAUGCCCACGGCACCCCCAAGAUAAUCUAAGGACACCAAAAAGGCAAAGCUUGAGGAUGCCCCGGAAGGCAUCCCCUCUUUCGUCUACUUCCAUCGGUAACUUUACUUGGAGCUAUAUUUUUAUUCACCACAUGAUAUGUGUUUUGCUUGGAGCGUCUUGUACGAUUUGAGUCUUUGCUUUUUAGUUUACCACAAUCAUCCUUGCUGUACACACCUUUUGAGAGAGCCAUAUAUGAUUUGGAAUUUGUUAGAAUACUCUAUGUGCUUCGCUUAUAUCUUUUGAGUUAUAUAGUUUUGCUCUAGUGCUUCACUUAUAUCUAUUAGAGCACGGUGGUGGAUUUGUUUUAUAGAAACUAUUGAUCUCUCAUGCUUCACUUAGAUUAUUUUGAGAGUCUUAAAUAGCAUGGUAAUUUUUUUAAAUAAUCCUAAUAUGCUUGGUAUUCAAGAUUAAUAAAAACUUUCUUAUGAGUGUGUUGAAUACUAAGAAAAGUUUGAUGCUUGAUAAUUGUUUUGAGAUAUAAAGAUGGUGAUAUUAGAGUCAUGCUAGUUGAGUAGUUGUGAAUUUGAGAGAUACUUGUGUUAAAUUUUGUGAUUCCCGUAGCAUGCACGUAUGGUGAACCGUUAUGUGAUGAAGUCGGAGCAUAAUUUAUUUAUUGAUUGUCUUCCUUAUGAGUGGCGGUCGGGGACGAGCGAUGGUCUUUUCCUACCAAUCUAUCCCCCUAGGAGCAUGCGCGUAAUACUUUGCUUUGAUAACUUGUAGAUUUUUGCAAUAAGUAUAUGAGUUCUUUAUGACUAAUGUUGAGUCCAUGGAUUAUACGCACUCUUCUUCCUUCCACCAUUGCUAGCCUCUCUAAUACGGCGCACUUUUCGCCGGUAUCAUACACCCACCAUAAACCUUCCUCAAAACAGCCACCAUACCUACCUAUCAUGGCAUUUCCAUAGCCAUUCCGAGAUAUAUUGCCAUGCAACUUUCCACCGUUCCGUUUAUUAUGACAUGCUCCAUCAUUGUCAUAUUGCUUUGCAUGAUCAUGUAGUUGACAUCGUAUUUCUGGCAAAGCCACCGUUCAUAAUUCUUUCAUACAUGUCACUCUUGAUUCAUUGCAUAUCCCGGUACACCGCCGGAGGCAUUCAUAUAGAGUCAUAUUUUGUUCUAAGCAUCGAUUUGUAAUUGAUGAGUUGUAAGAAAAUAAAAGUGUGAUGGUCUUCAUUUUUAGAGCUUUGUCCCAAGUGAGGAAAAGGAUGAUGGAGACUAUGAUUCCCCCACAAGUCGAGAUGAGACUCCGGUCAAAAAAAAGAGGCCAUAAAAACAGGCCCAAAUAAAAAAAUAAAAAAGUGAGAGAAAGAGAGAAGGGACAAUGUUACUAUCCUUUUACCACACUUGUGCUUCAAAGUAGCACCAUGAUCUUCAUGAUAGAGAGUCUCCCAUUUUGUCACGUUCAUAUACUAGUGGGAAUUUUUCAUUAUAGAACUUGGCUUGUAUAUUCCAAUGAUGGGCUUCCUCAAAAUGCCCUAGGUCUUCGUGAGCAAGCGAGUUGGAUGCACACCCACUUAGUUUCUUUUGUUGAGAUUUCAUAUACUUAUAGCUCAAGUGCAUCCGUUGCAUGGCAAUCCCUACUCACUCACAUUGAUAUCUAUUGAUGGGCAUCUCCAUAGCCCGUUGAUACGCCUAGUUGAUGUGAGACUAUCUUCUCCCUUUUUGUCUUCUCCACAACCACCAUUCUAUUCCACAUAUAGUGCUAUGUCCAUGGCUCACGCUCAUGUAUUGCGUGAAGAUUGAAAAAGUUUGAGAAUGUCAAAAGUAUGAAACAAUUGCUUGGCUUGUCAUCGGGGUUGUGCAUGAUUUAAAUACUUUGUGUGGUGAAGAUAGAGCAUAGCCAGACUAUAUGAUUUUGUAGGGAUAACUUUCUUUGGCCAUGUUAUUUUGAGAAGACAUAAUUGCUUUGUUAUUAUGCUUGAAGUAUUAUUAUUUUUACGUCAAUAUUAAACUUUUGUCUUGAAUCUUUCGGAUCUGAAUAUUCAUACCACAAUUAAGAAGAAUUACAUUGAAAUUAUGCCUACUAGCACUCUGCAUCAAAAUUUCUGUUUUUAUCAUUUACCUACUCGAGGACGAGCAGGAAUUAAGCUUGGGGAUGCUUGAUACGUCUCCAACGUAUCUAUAAUUUUUGAUUGCUCCAUGCUAUAUUAUCUACUGUUUUGGACAUUAUUGGGCUUUAUUAUUCACUUUUAUAUUAUUUUUGGGACUAACCUAUUAACCGGAGGCCCAGCCCAGAAUUGUUGUUUUUUGCCUAUUUCAGAGUUUCGCAGAAAAGGAAUAUCAAACGGAGUCCAAACGGAAUGAAACCUUCGGGAACGUGAUUUUCAGAACGAACAAGAUCCAGGAGACUUGGACCCUACGUCAAGAAAUAAAGGAGGAGGCCACGAGGUAGGGGGGCGCGCCUACCCCCCNNNNNNNNNNNNNNNNNNNNNNNNNNNNNNNNNNNNNNNNNNNNNNNNNNNNNNNNNNNNNNNNNNNNNNNNNNNNNNNNNNNNNNNNNNNNNNNNNNNNNNNNNNNNNNNNNNNNNNNNNNNNNNNNNNNNNUCCAGGGCGCGCCCUCCACCCUUGUGGGCCCCCUGUUGCUCCACCGACGUACUCCUUCCUCCUAUAUAUACCUACGUACCCCCAAACGAUCAGAUACGGAGCCAAAAACCUAAUUCCACCGCCGCAACCUUCUGUACCCACGAGAUUCCAUCUUGGGGCAUGUGCCGGAGCUCCGCCGGAGGGGGCAUCGAUCACGGAGGGCUUCUACAUCAUCACCAUAGCCCCUUCGAUGAAGUGUGAGUAGUUUACCUCAGACCUUCGGGUCCAUAGUUAUUAGCUAGAUGGCUCUUUUUGGAUCUCAAUACAAUGUUCUCCCCCUCUCUCGUGGAGAUCUAUUCGAUGUAAUCUCCUUUUUGCGGUGUGUUUGUUGAGACCGAUGAAUUGUGGGUUUAUGAUCAAGUUUAUCUAUGAACAAUAUUUGAAUCUUCUCUGAAUUCUUUUAUGUAUGAUUGGUUAUCUUUGCAAGUCUCUUCGAAUUAUCAGUUUGGUUUGGCCUACUAGAUUGAUCUUUCUUGCAAUGGGAGAAGUGCUUAGCUUUGGGUUCAAUCUUGCGGUGUCCUUUCCCAGUGACAGUAGGGGCAGCAAGGCACGUAUUGUAUUGUUGCCAUCGAGGAUAACAAGAUGGGGUUUUUAUCAUAUUGCAUGAAUUUAUCGCUCUACAUCAUGUCAUCUUGCUUAAGGCGUUACUCUGUUUUUAUGAACUUAAUACUCUAGAUGUGUGCUGGAUAGCGGUCGAUGAGUGGAGUAAUAGUAGUAGAUGCAGGCAGGAGUCGGUCUAGUUGUCUCGGACGUGAUGCCUAUAUACAUGAUCAUACCUAGAUAUUCUCAUAACUAUGCUCAAUUCUGUCAAUUGCUCAACAGAAAUAUGUUCACCCACCGUAGAAUACUUAUGCUCUCGAGAGAAGCCACUAGUGAAACCUAUGGCCCCUGGGUCUAUCUUCAUCAUAUUAAUCCUCCAACACUUAGUUAUUUCCUUCGCUUUUUACUUUGCUUUUAUUUUACUUUGCAUCUUUAUCACAAAAAUACCAAAAAUAUUAUCCUAUCAUAUCUAUCAGAUCUCACUCUCGUAAGUGACCGUGUAGGAUUGACAACCCCUUAUCGUGUUGGUUGCGAGGAUUUAUUUGUUUUGUGUAGGUGCGAGGGACUCGCGCGUAGCCUCCUACUGGAUUGAUACCUUGGUUCUCAAAAACCGAGGGAAAUACUUACGCUACUUUACUGCAUCACCCUUUCCUCUUCAAGGGAAAACCAACACAGUGCUCAAGAGGUAGCAAGAAGGAUUUCUGGCACCGUUGCCCGGGAGGCUACGCGAAGUCAAGUAAAGACUUGGACUCCCGACAACGAGCCAUUUCUGGCGCCUUUGCCGGGGAGCCUAUAUACAUGAUCAUACCUAGAUAUUCUCAUAACUAUGCUCAAUUCUGUCAAUUGCUCAACAGUAAUUUGUUCACCCACCGUAAAUACUUAUGCUCUUGAGAGAAGCCACUAGUGAAACCUAUGGCCCCCGGGUCUAUCUUCAUCAUAUUAAUCCUCCAACACUUAGUUAUUUCCUUCGCUUUUUACUUUGCUUUUAUUUUACUUUGCAUCUUUAUCACAAAAAUACCAAAAAUAUUAUCCUAUCAUAUCUAUCAGAUCUCACUCUCGUAAGUGACCGUGUAGGGAUUGACAACCCCUUGUCGCGUUGGUUGCGAGGAUUUAUUUGUUUUGUGUAGGUGUGAGGGACUCGCGCGUAGCCUCCUACUGGAUUGAUACCUUGGUUCUCAAAAACCGAGGGAAAUACUUACGCUACUUUGCUGCAUCACCCUUUCCUCUUCAAGGGAAAACCAACGCAGUGCUCAAGAGGUAGCAGAUCCAUGGGCCUUCCAUGGGCCAGCGGCUCCAUGGGCCUUCUAUGGGCCAUCGGGUCAAUGGGCCUUCUAUGGGCCGUCGGGUCAAUGGGCCUUCUACGGGCCGUCUCAUCUAUGGGCCUUGUACGGGCCGUAUAAGGGGCCGUAAACGGGCUAGAGUGGAAAUCGUGCGUUUUAUGGGCUGACCAUAACGGGCCGUUAAACGGCCGUAUUUGAUGAUGCUAUGAAAAUGGCCCAACAGAUUAACGGGCCACAAAAGGGCCGACUGUAUCCACGGGCUGAAUUUGGCCCACUAGCAGAAAAGGCCUAUAACGGGCCGUAAGUAAACGAAUGCCGGAAGUGAGCCCAAGAAUAAAUGGGCCCUGAGAAGGCCGAAAGAUAACAUGGGUUGGAAACGGCCCAACGGUAUAAUGGGCCAUUAAUGGGUAUAAAGUGAUACACUAUUCAUCACGGGCCAGUUUUACCACGGGCCGUUAAUGGGCCGAGGGUUACUAAGGGCCUCAGAUGGGCCAAAAGACGUCAUGGGACAUACAUGGGCCGGAAGUUAAAACGGGCUGGAAUUGUAUUGGACGGCCCAAAUGACGCUACUGGACCUAAUUCGGAUAGGCCGUAAACGGGCCCUGGGUUAGCGGGCUGUAAAUGGGCUAUAUGCGAAUAGGCCGUUAACAGGCUUGCCGUGGGCCGGCCCGCCACCUUUUAACCAAGUCAAACGGGCCGGCCUUUUCACAGGAACGGGCCUCUGUUCGGCCGUGCCAUGUGUCGACGUAUCAUAGGCGCUUUGGGUCCACUGAGUGGAUGACAUCUGUCCCAAUUGUGAGCCGACACGUGUUUCCUCCAGCCAAUGAUGAUUUUACACGUGGAAAAUCCCCAUUGGUCGGGGCUGUUAACGGGUUAUCGGAUCCAAAACCGGACCCGAUAGCUUAACGGCUUUCCGUUACGGUGGAUGCCACGUGUCGAUCACCCUUGACGAAAGCACUUCUGUGACGCGCGAUUUAUCGUCAUGGAAGUGGACACUUCCGUGAUGAUAAUUUUGGUAAUGUCAUGGAACACUUCUACGACAGCACAGGUAUGACUAUCUUGAUUCUGUCAUAAAUUUGUCAUGGAUGUACAUGCAUGACAGAAAACGUGACCUACUAUGACGAACACGUAUCAUCACGGAAGUGUCUUUUUUUUGUAGUGUACGUUGGAGACGUAUCAAGCAUCCCCAAGCUUAAUUCCUGCUCGUCCUCGAGUAGGUAAAUGAUAAAAAUAGAAUUUUUGAUGUGGAAUGCUACCUAACAUAUUUAUCCAUGUAAUUUUCUUUAUUGUGGCAUGAAUGUUCAUAUCCACAAGAUUCAAAAGAAAAGUUUAACGUUGACAUAAAAACAAUAAUACGUCAAGCAUACUAAUAAAGCAAUCAUGUCUUCUCAAAAUAACAUGGCCAAAGAAAGUUAUCCCUACAAAAUCAUAUAGUCUGGCUAUGCUCCAUAUUCAUCACACAAAGUAUUAAAUUAUGCACAACCCCGGUAUUAGUCAAGCAAUUAUUUCACACUUUAGUAUUGUCAAACUUUUUCAACUUUCAUGCAAUACAUGAGCGUGAGCCAUGGAUAUAGCAUAUAGGUGGUAGAAUAUGGUUGUUGUGGAGAAGACAAAAAGAAGGUAGUCUCACAUAAACUAGGCGUAUCAACGGGCUAUGGAGAUGCCCAUCAAUAGAUAUCAAUGUCAGUGAGUAGGGAUUUCCAUGCAACGGAUUCACUAGAGCUGUAAGUUUAUGAAAGCUCACAAAGAAACUAAGUGGGUGUCCAUCCAACUCACUUGCUCACGAAGACCUAGGGCAAUUUGAGGAAGCCCGUCAUUGGAAUAUACAAGCCAAGUUAUAUAAUGAAAAAUUCCCACUAGUAUAUGAAAGUGACAACAUAGGAGACUCUCUAUCAUGAAGAUCAUGGUGCUACUUUGAAGCACAAGUGUGGAAAAGGAUAGUAACAUUGUCCCUUCUCUCUUUUCUCUCAGUAAUUUUUUUGGUGGGCUUCUUUGGCCUCUUUUAUUUUAUUUGGGCUUCUUUGGCCUCUUUUAUUUUUCAUAAAGUCCGGAGACUCAUCCCAACUUGUGAGGUAAUCAUAGCUUCCAUCAUCCUUUCUUCACAUGGGACAAUGCUCUAAUAAUGAUGAUCAUCACAAUUUUAUUUACUUACAACUCAAGGUAAAAACUCAUAAUGACGGAACGGUGGAAGUUGCAUGGAAAUAUAUCUCGGAAUGGCUAUGGAAAUUCCAUAAUAGGUAGGUAUGGUGGUUGUUUUGAGGAAGGGUAAAUGGUGGGUUUAGUGCACCGGCGAAAGUUGCACGGUACUAGAGUGGCUAGCAAUGGUGGAAGGGUCAGAGUGCGUAUAAUCCAUGGACUCAACAUUAGUCAUAAAGAACUCACAUACUUAUUGCAAAAAUUUAUUAGCUAUCGAAACAAAUUAUUAGACGCAUGCUCCUAGGGGAAGGGUUGGUAGGAGUUAACCAUCGCGCGAUCCCGACCUCCACACAAAGGACGACAAUCAAUAAAUAAAUAAUGCUCCGACUUCAUCACAUAACGGUUCACCAUACGUGCAUGCUACGGGAAUCACAAACUUUAACACAAGUAUUUCUACCAAUCCACAAUUACUCACUAACAUGACUCUAAUAUCACCAUCUUCAUAUCUCAAAACAAUCAUAAGGAAUCAAACUUCUCAUAGUAUUCAAUGCUCUAUAUAUUAAAGUUUUUAUUAUAUCUCCCUUGGAUGCCCAUCAUAUUAGGACUAAAUUCAUAACCUAUCCAAAUUACCAUGUUGUUUAGAGACUCUCAAAAUAAUAUAAGUGAAGCAAGAGAGUUAAAUGAUUUCUAUAAAAUAAAGCCACCGCUGUGCUCUAAAAAGAUAUAAGUGAAGCACUAGAGCAAAAUUGCCUAGAUCAAAAGAUAUAAGUAAAGCACAUAGAGUAUUCUAAUAAAUCAUGAUUCAUGUGUGUCCCUCUCAAAAGGUGUGUACAGCAAGGAUGAUUGUGGCAAACUAAAAAUCAAAGACUCAUAUUAUACAAGACGCUCCAAGAAAAAUAUUUAUCAUGUGGCGAAUAAAAAUAUAGCCUCAAGUAAAGUUACCGAUAGAUGAAGACGAAAGAGGGGAUGCCAUCCGGAGCAUCCCCAAGCUUAGGCUCUUGGUUGUCCUUGAAUAUUACCUUGGGGUGCCUUGGGCAUCCCCAAGCUUAGGCUCUUGCCACUCCUUAUUCCAUAGUCCAUCAAAUCUUUAAUCAAAACUUGAAAACUUCACAACAUCAAACUCAACAGAAAACUCAUUAGAUCCGUUAAUAAAACAAAAUCCAAUUCUUGCAUGUAGGUACUGUUGUGAACUCAUUCUUAUUUUAUAUUGGUGUAAUAUCUACUGUAUUCCAACUUUUCCAUGGUUCAUGCCCCCCGAUACUAGCCAUAGAUGCAUCAAAAUAAGCAAACAACACAAAGAAAACAGAAUCUGUCAAAAACAGAACAGUCUGUAAAGAUGUGAAUUGAUGUAAAACUUCUGCAUCUCUAAAAAUUCUGAAAAUUAGGACAACGUGGGAAAUUUGUAGAUCAGAAACGUGUAUAAAAUUCAAGAAUUUAUCGCGCUCCGCUAACCAGAAACAAUUCUGAUACUGGACACAAAAGUUUCUGUUUUUCAACAAAACCAAUCUACUAUCUUUCAAAUCAUCCCAAAGUUCUUACUUGGCACAAACACUAAAUUAAAACUCAUAAACAAAUCUAACUAGAGGUUAGAUGAAAAAUUUAUUGAAAAACAGAACCAAAGAAAGCAAGAACAAAAAUAAAAUUGGGUUGCCUCCCAACAAGCGCUAUUGUUUAACGCCCUUAGCUAGGCAAAAAACAUAGAUCUAGAUAUUGCCAUAAUAACAAUAAUAAGGCAUAUCACGUAUGCUCAUCUCAUACUCCCUUGGUUCAGCAGCAAGCUUUGUUUGUGGUAAGCAAAAGUAAUCAAAAGGGCUAAAUUUAAUAGGGUAAGGAUCCCUAAGAUCAAGUUCUGGAGGAAUUGGCUCCUCCUUCGGCCCCUCGUAUCGUAUGGUCAACUCAUCAUUGUAAGCGUUCUUUUGGCAAAAAUUCAUGAACUUAUUUUCUAGAGAGAAACCUAAUCCGUUGUUUCGUAUAGCAAAAUUAUCAUUAAUUUCAGAAAUUCUCUCAACUAAAACAUUGGUAGGGACCCUUUUUCUUAAAUUUUCGUUAUAAGCAACAUGAUCAAGAGAUCGUAAACGCAUUAUUUCUUCUUGAUUAAAGAGAAUCCCCUAUAUGGGAGGACGACUACCAUCUAUUUUAUAAUGCGCAAAAAUUUCAAUAGCUUCCUUCAUAAUGAAUAUAAACUCAUGAGCUAGAAAUAUGGUAGCGGCGCGUUUAACAGAAGAAUGCUCGAUAUUAGGAAACUCUAGAAAAAUCCUUUGUAUGCACGGAUGCAUUUGAACAAAUUGUCUUUCAAGUUCAAUUACAAGCAAAGUUAUAGCGUCCACGAGACUAUUAGUUUUAUGGAGAAUAGAUCCACCUAACAUGGGUAGCGCACCGGCACAAGUAAAUAAAUCUUGAAUAACCCCUUUUCCAAUAAUAUUGCUGCUACCUAUGCGAAGCUUUUUAGUGUGCAAGAUAGUAGAUUCUUCAUGCGGAUCAAUAUUAGCAAAAUUAUCCAGGUUUUCCUCAUUAUUACUACGAUCUUUUUCAACGAUAACCUCCCCAGAUUCAGACAUGAUGGCAACAAAUCUGUCUAGCAAACGAAUGAACCGGAAAUAAACGAAAAAGACAAACGGAAGAAGGGCGAAUAAAAAGGCAUAUCUUUUUCUGCUUUUCUGAAAAUGUUUUUGAACUAGGGGAGAGGAAAACGAGAGGCGAAUGGCGAAUAAUGUAAUGCAAGAGAUGAGAAUUUAUUAUUGGUACUUGGUAGGCUUGAUGUAGAUCUUGACUUGGCGUAGAUCUCCCCGGCAACGGCGCCAGAAAUUCUUCCUGCUACUUCUUGAUCUUCCAUUGUUUUUUUUCUUGAAGAGGAAAGGGUGAGGCAGCAAAGUAGAGAUAAUUAUUUCCCUCAGUUAAUAACCAAGGUAUCAAUCCAGUAGGAGAAGAACGCGCAAAUCACCAAUACCUGCACGAACAAUCAAAAACUUGCACCCAACGCGAUAAAGGGGUUGUCAAUCCCUUCACGGUCACUUGCAAAAGUGAGAUCUGAUAGACAUAGAUAAAUAAACCUAAACAAAAUAUAAAAUAUUUUUGGAUUUUUCAUUUAUAGAUCUGAAAAUAAAAGAUUACAAAAUAGUAGAUCGGAAACUAAUAUGAUGGAAAAAGACCCAGGGGCCAUAGGUUUCACUAGAGGCUUCUCUCAUGAAGGCAAAUAAUACGGUGGGUGAACAAAUUACUGUCGAGCAAUUGAUAGAAAAGCUCAAUGUUAUGACGAUAUCCAAGGCAAUGAUUAUGUGAUAUAGGCAUCACGUCCAUAUCAAGUAGACCGACUCCUGUCUGUAUCUACUACUAUUACUCCACACAUCCACCGACUCCUGCCUGCAUCUAGAGUAUUAACUUCAUAAAGAACAGAGUAACGCAUUAAGUAAGAUGACAUGAUGUAGAGGAAUAAACUCAAGCAAUAUGAUGUAAAUCCCAUCUUUUUUAUCCUCGAUGGCAAAAAUAAAAUACGUGCCUCACUACCCCUACUUUGUCACUAGGUGAGGACACCGCAAGAUUGAACCCAAAGCCAAGCACUUAUCCCAUUGCAAGAAAAACCAAUCUAGUUGGCCAAACCAAACCGAUAAUUCGAAGAGAACUACAAGGAUAUCUAAUCAUGCAUAUAAGAAUUCAGAGAAGAUUCAAAUAAUAUUCAUAGAUAAGUUGAUCAUAGAUCCACAAUUCAUCGGAUCUCGACAAACACACCGCAAAAGAAGAUUACAUUGGAUAGAUCUCCAAGAACAUCGAGGAGAACAUGGUAUUGAGAAUCAAAGAGAGAGAAGAAGCCAUCUAGUUACUAGAUAUGGACCUGUAGGUCUGUGGUAAACUAGUCACGCUUCACCGGAAGGGCAAUAGAGUUGAUGUAGAUGCCCUUCGUGAUCGAACCCCCCUCCGGCAGGAUGCCAAAAAAGGCCCCAAGAUGGGAUCUCACGGGAACAGAAGGUUGCGGCGGUGGAAAAGUGUUUUUGUGGAUGCUUCUGAGGGUUUCGGAAUAUUUGUGAAUUUAUAGGACAAAGAAGUAGGUCGGUGAAGUCACGAGGGGCCCACAAGGUAGGGGGCGUGCCCACCGCCCUAGGGUGCGCCCUCCACCCUUGCAUCCGCCUCGUGGCUCUUCUGACCUGCACUCCAAGUCCCCUGGGUGCCUUCUGGUCCGAGAAAAAUCAUCGUAAAGUUUCAUUCCAUUUGGACUCCGUUUGAUAUUCUUUUUUUGUUAAACUCAAAAAUAAGGAAAAACAGAACUUGGCACUGGGCCCUAGGUUAAUAGGUUAGUCCCAAAAAUAAUAUAAAAUAGCAUAUUAAUGCAUACAAAACAUCCAAAACAGAUAAUAUAAUAGCAUGGAACAAUCAAAAAUUAUAGAUACGUUGGAGACGUAUCAUUGCCAAACGUAACAAUGUUGUGCAGAAAUGCGGAAGCGACUACAAGUCAGUGGACUGAAAAGCUAUUUUGGGUCAGUUGCUCAUUUCAGUCGAGCCUGCUUCCAGACAACGACCUCACGUUAUAAGCUACCGUCUGCAUAUAUGCACAUAAUAACUCCUACUCAGUCCUCCUCCUAUGUACAUAGUAGUCCUACACAGUUCUAUCCCUACACUAGUACUACUACACAAUGUUGUCACUAUAAAGUAGUUCCUAGAAGCACGUCUACACAUGAACUACGUUGGCUGGCUCGCAACCUGCAUGCGCGAUCGCACGCACUAGCGACGCACGUGCUAGCGGCUCUCAUCUUGUUUCUCAAAAACAUCGCCAUGGUUUGGAGUGUUUCUAUAAAAAUGCUACACCUACAUGGACAUUGCUAACGAUCUCCUAUCUCGUUGGUCAAAAACAGUGCCAUGGUCGGGGGAGUUUCUCUAAAAAAUGAUACACCUACAUGGAUAUUGCUACUGAUUUAUUGUAUCCUUGGUCAAAAACAUCACCACACUCGGAAGUGUUUCUCUAAAAUGCUACACAUACAGAGAUAUUUCUACUGAUCAUCUUUACAGUGAGAUAUGCUUUCUUCCAACCACAGAACUCCCCCUAUUUCCUAAUUAUUAGUAGAAUGCUAUCUGGUCAGAUUCCAAGGAGUUGGGCAGGAUUAUGAAGAGGUUGUCCUUCCUCCGGGACCGCAGGAUUACCCUAGUUGAGGUGGCGCACAUGUUCCUACGCCGCAAUGUCCAACCUCUCUAGCCCUGAGCUCACCCCAUGCGGGCUUAUCCGGGGAAGAACGACAACCACGCCAUAGGAGAAGAUUUUUAUGGUAUGUUCUCCUCUUUGUUCAAGGGGAAGGCUAUGGAUUUUCCCGUGUACGACGUUUGUUUUCUCAUUUCUUAAGCAGAAAUUGAAUAGUUGGAUCUUUACUCACCCAUGUACUUGUUGACGCAAAAGUGGCUCUCCUUCUCGACCGAGGUCCGUACUUCUAAAUUAUAUGGUUUUGCAUAUUAACUAACUACCUACUCAUUGCUCGCUAGGAAAUUUAUAAUAACAUGGUCGAUUAAGAUCCAUAGCCUGAUUUCCAAUGGCACAUAUGUAUUUUUCUCCUCCAGCCACCAAACAUUUCUUUCUUGAGGCCAGUGACUACUACCAUCCGAGAAAGACAUCCCUCUAAUGCACCCAACCCUAGUGUCACCCAGCAUAACACACAGCCCUCUAACACUAAGCCUAAACACUAACUGGUAACCUCUAAUUACUCUCCUCCGUCACCAUCACAUUAAGUCCACUCCACAUCAUCACCUCUAAAAUUUCGCCAGUACCGUGACGGUGGUUGGAGAUUGGAGGUAUCAUUGGGCUGAAUUAACUUAUACUAGAUGUAUAUAGAUUGAUAGAUGUAUUAUUUUUUUCUUCAUUUCCAUGUCAUAGAGAUGUACUUAUCCUUGGAAAAGUUGAAUGGUGUCCUGGAAACCAUCCCACUGGUUAUAGCAGAAUGAUCGAUCUAGUGCUAAUACCGUGUUUUUAUUUCAUGACUCUUUGGUAUUGCAUUGUAUUGCAGUUAUAGAUCUCUGCAAUUGCAAGUUAUAUUUAGUUGUUCCAUUUUCUGCUCUUAUCAUUGUCAAGUUGUAGAUGUAUGCUAUUUGAUAUGUUACAAGCAUGGCAACGCAAGAGGAUAAAUUAUUAGUCGAUAAAAAAACAGUUAACAAAUUUGCAACAUCACAAUUAUUACUACCGAAGUUAUUGCUACCCACCUAUUUCACCUUGGCGAAUGAGAGGAGCUGGCGUUUGUGAGUCCACUCCUGCUCGUACACCUCUGCCUUGUACUUGUCAUCUUUCCCGCCAAUGUCUGAUGCGUCGAUGAUGAGUUUGUAGUUCAUUCCAGAAACAAGUUGUUGCCUGCCACUCACCACCUUGUUGAACUUGAGCACGCAGUUCACGUGCUUGGCGAACUCCAACACCGCCCAACGUCCGAGCUCCUGGAUGUGUUGGUCAUUGAUGUUUCCAAUUGGUUUCCAUCCAUUCUCUAUUGUUGUGUUCCACAAUUGGUUACCCAUCCGUUCCCCACAGCCUGUGGCGGGUGAGCCAAUGGCAUAGAGGAACGCAACAACGAUGAUGAGGAGGAAGCUAGAUGUCCUCAUGGCUAUUGGAUUGUCUAAUGGGGUUCUAUAUCUUGAGAUAGUUAUGUGGGACUUUGGUGAGUUGGUGAUGUGAGUCGAUCCAAAACAAGUGAGAUAGGUGUGCUUAAAUAGACAUUGUUAUAAGGGGCAGCCAUUAAUAGGAUGCUUAUCCAAGUAGGCAUUUACAAUGGCAUUUAUGACAACCUUUUAUACGGGGACAAACUUUAUUCACAAGUUAAUCAAUUGGAUCCAUAUCCAAAGAAUUUGACCUACUUAAACUUAGAAACGUUUAAAUACAUGCUUUCUUGAUGGUUGUAUUUCAUAGCCGGGUAGUAACUAGUGCACCCACUGACAAGUUGUGACUAAUAUCUUAUCCAUAAAAUGGUCAAAAUUAAAAUAAUUUGCCUUAUGGGUAGUAAAAACCUGUAUUUAAACCUUUGUAUGAAAAUAUAUCUAGAUUUCUAUCAUGGAAAUACUAAUAGUUAUAAUUAUACAAAUUGUUCUUAAAAUUUCAUAUAUAUUUUUGGAGUAAUACUUCAACUAUUAUCUUGGUGCCAAAAUUUGGGUUGAUUCGUCACACAACCACUUAUCUUUCUUGUGCUUGGAAACUUGAGUAUGAUAUGAGCAAUAUGAAACGUGUGGAUCUUUAUUAAACCCAAAUGAUAAGUGGCCAAUAUGUGGUACGAAGCAACAUGGUCCUAACGCCCCUAUUAUCAUCCACUUUGCCACAUCAAAUGGAUAACAUCAGCAGAUUUUUUUUUUUGUUUUUUAGACAUCAAAAUGUAUUAUCUCCCAAAUAAUAAAUUUGAUUACAAAUCUAUUUUCAUCGUUAAAUCUGCCUUGACGAGAUAUUCAAAACUAUAUCCCAUAUUGCUAUGUUUCGACGAUUUUUUGUGUGCCAAAAGUUGCCAUGAUAUUUACAUUGAAAUUGUCAUAGUGUUUACACUAAAGUUGCCAUGAUAUGUUUCAUCUAUUUUUCUUCUUCUAGAUUUUGAAGCUGCCAUUUUAUAUCAACUAAUUUUCACAUAAAAUUUUAUGAAUGGAUCGUGGAAAUUUUUAGUAAUUAACCACGGUGAAAUUAAUUCAUGGAUCAUGGCAAUUUUUAGUAAUUCAUCUUGGAAAUUUUAGUUUAAAAAUCAUGGCAAAUUUAGUUUAUAGAUCAUGGAAAUUUUAGUAGUUUGACCAUGAAAUUUUAGUAUUUGACCAAGGAAAAUUUUUUUGGUAUGAACCAUGGCAAAUUUUAGUGCAUGUAUCUUUGCAAAUUUAAGUAAUUCACCAUGGUAAUUUUAGUGUAUGGUUCAUGACAAAUUUGAGUCAUUGACCUUGCAUUUUUAAAAUAAUGAACAACGGGUUUCUUUUCUAAUUAUUAACCUUCAUGCCUAGAAGAGAACUAACUAGAUGCUUCAUUUGGUUGUGUGUAUAAUUGGUCUAGGGGUAUAAGAUAUAUCAUACGUGUUUGCUACUAUUUUAACAUGAAAGAAAAGUAGCGGAUAUGUUACAACAUAUACACAUAUUGCUAAAAUAAAUAAUUCUAUGAGGCAGUGGUAACACACACAGAGACAUGCAUAACAUGUUCAAGAUUAGGAAUCAUCCGCUUCUACGCGGUGUCAAAACACAUCAUAUAUAUGCCGAAAUUGCAGCCCGAACCGAAGGAGAUAUAUAAAAAUACCCAAGUAAUCUCAUAACAGCUAUCUCUGUUUCAAACAUUCCAUCCGUCUAAGAUGAAUCUUCUCUAGAAACUUAGGUGUACCAACUUGCUCGUACGCAAGUCACCACAAUGAAAACAAUCGUAUAUAUGAUAAACAAGGCCACAUGUGCAAUCAUGGCAACCAUCAGCACACCCCACGGAAAGUGUUAGGAACCUUUCGCCACUAGAGAGGUCGUAGUACAAAGGAGAAUUAUCCUUGAGACGCCGACGACGUACAAUGGUGUCGUCCACAGCAGUAGGUAUGGCCUUGUAAUUCACGGCAAUAGUCUCCCUCACAUAGACAGAGACAUCAUCGUCCUCGAUGUAAAUUCCAUGGUCAAUAGUAGUGAAGAGAGUAUUACCUCCGAUGCUUGUUACUGGGACAACCUUGCCCAUGAUAAGAUCGGCUACUUUGUAGACGAGCAUGCGCCCCUCUAAAAGUGGGUUAGCGUCGUGACCAAUCAGUCGGAUCUCCGAGACGCAUUCUUCCAUGCUGAACCGGCCUCUGAUUUUGUCAUUGGGACACGUGGCAAUCAACCUUGGCGGCAACAAAUAAGAUGACACUGCGUGAUGACCGAGGCGGGGUGGAUCGAUCUGCAGAAUAAGUUGUUUGCCGCCAUAUGUGGUGGGAGAAUCCAACACAAAUAAUUUUCCUUGGGGUGAUAUUGUAUGAGAGUAGCCUUGGAGGCUCCAAGUCGAGACACUCCAUUGCUGGUCCUUGGUAGUAGCAAAGAAUACUCGUGGUAUAUUAUAAAGCUUGAUCAUAACGGUGACGACUCCAUCAAUACUCACGCUCAUUGAGGUGACACCACUGAAAGCAACAUGUCUCCUGCCAUUUGACAUAUCCAAGUUGGCCCUUACCAGGGACAUGAGCGGCGGUAGCUCCACAAAGUCGUCGGUGAAAGGGUGGAGGAUAUGCAUACAGUGCUUAAAAGUUGGAAAACGUUUCACGCCAGCGCGCCCGCCGAAACUAUGGUUUGUCGGUUGCGAGCCAUGUGAUCAAGCCCCCAUUGUACGUCUCGCACAUCACCCUGGCCCAUCUUAUCUCUCAGCCUAGCGCGCUGGUGGCCACACUCCUCGUCUUCCUCCUUCGGAUCCCGCCGCCGUCUAGCCCCAAUCGCGGCUCAAGCUCAAGAAGGCGACACCCAUGGAUGACGGUGCUCCUCCAAGGCAACCAUGUUGGUGUGCUUGCCGAUGGCCUCGUCGACAUGCUUGCCUUCGGCGAGCCUCGUUGAUGGCGGUCGGGGCAGCGUGGGAGGCGUCAGCUUGGGAGUGGGGGCUCGGAAGGAACAAAUGAGGAGACUGCUCCCGGCAGCCUCGUCGGAUGAUUUGAAUAAUUCCCGAAUUUAUAUAGGCAGUUUUAUUGUUGGCCCAUCCUGCCUUAUGUGGAUUAGCUCCACUGGGGGAUUAUUCGCCCUGCACGCAACGCUGUUACUGUAUUGUGAUUGCGACAACUGGGAGAAGAGGGCCUCGCCGACGGGCGAUGGCAGGCCGGAGACGGGGCACGCGUGCGUCGGUGUCGAACGCUGCCGACCCUCCCUUACUGGGCCGGGUAAUAGCAAGGUACGACAUGAUCCAAGGUCCAAUUCUGCCGAGAAAUUAUGACCCGACCCAGUAAUCUUUGCCGAUCGACUCGAGUUCCGAUCGGUUUGAUCUCCUCGUGGCGGAGUCGUACACAGUCUGCGUCUCAGCUAUCCCUCGGUACGUUCUUCUAGAAAAACUACCCCUCGGUACGUAGAGCUAGGGUAGAAAGACCAGAUCGAUCUUCUACUUUUCGAGAGAAGAGAGAAGAUAUGCCGUCUGCGAUCGAUCCACCGAUGUCAUCAUCACGGGCCAACCACGACGGCGCAUCAGCCAUCGCUGAUGCUGCUGCCUCCGCCGCCAGCUCCGAAGACGACGUCUCUCCAUGGUCGUCUCUGCAUGCAGAUUUGGUUCGUCAACUCGGCUGGGAGGUGCUGGCCGGAGAUAUACUGGACUAUGUCCGAUUUCGUGCCGUGUGCGCCCACUGGCGGUCCAGCACCGUCGCGCCGCGGGGGCACGGCAUCGUCGACCCACGCUUCCACCCCAAGAGGUGGUUCCUGCUGCCCGAGGGUCACGGCCUGCACCCUGCUGACGGCAAGAAACGUUUCUUCAAUCUCUCCACAGGAGUUUUCGUCCGUGUCUUGCUCCCCUUCUUAAGCGAUAGCUAUGUCCUUGACUCGGCCGAUGGCCUCCUCCUCUUGCAACGGAAAAGCCAAGACACCUCCGCGAUCCGGCUCCUCCACCCUUUCACCGACGACUUUGCGGAGCUACCACCGCCCAUGUCCCUUGUAAGAGCUAACUUGGAUAUGUCCGAUGGCACACGACGGGUUGAUUUCCGUAGUGUCACUUCCAUUAGCGUCACUGUUGAUGGAGUCGUCGCAGUCAUGAUCAAGCUUUACAAUAUAUCACGUGUAUUCUUUGCUACUACUAAGGACCGGCAGUGGAGUGUCUCGACUUGGAAUAUCGGAUGGUACUCCGAGACAAUAUCGUCCAACCACAUAUCGCCGUGAACAACAUAUUCUCCAGAUCGAUCCACCCCGCCUUGAUCAUCACGCCAUGUCAUCUUAUUUGUUGCCAUCAAGGUUGAUUGCCACGUGUCCCACUAACAAAAUUUCUGGCAUGUUCUACAUGGAAGAUUGUGUCUCGGAGAUCCUAGUGAUUGGUCAGGAUGCUAACCCAUUUUUCAAGGGCCGCUUGGUCGUCUACAAAGUAGCCGAUCUUAUCAUGGGCAAGGUUAUCCCGGUAACAAGCAUCGGAGGUAAUACUCUCUUCACUACAAUUGACAAUGGAAUUAGCAUUGACGAUAAUGAUAUCUCUGUUUAUGUGAGGGAGACUAUUGUUGUGAGUUACAAGCCCAUACCUACUGCUAUGGGCGACACCAUUGUACGCCGUCGGCGUCUCAAGGAUAAUUCUCCUUUGUACUACGACCUCUUUAGCGGCGAAUGGUCCCAAGGACCGGCCAUGGAGUGUGCUGAUGGUUACCAUGAUUGCACCUGUGUCCUUGUUUAUCAUAUCUACGAUUGUUGUCAUUGUGGUGACUUCCGUGCGAGCAAGUUGGUACACCUAAGUUUCUAGAGCAGAUACUCGUGUGUCAUAGAGAUGUACUUAUCCUUGGAAAAGUUGAAUGGUGUCCUGGAAACCAUCCCACUGCUUAUAGUAGAAUGAUCGAUCUAGUGCUAAUACCGUGUUUUUAUUUCAUGACUCUUUGGUAUUGCAUUGUAUUGCAGUUAUAGAUCUCUGCAAUUGCAAGUUAUAUUUAGUUGUUCCAUUUUCUGCUCUUAUCAUUGUCAAGUUGUAGAUGUAUGCUAUUUGAUAUGUUACAAGCAUGGCAACGCAAGAGGAUAAAUUAUUAGUCGAUAAAAAACAGUUAACAAAUCUGCAACAUCACAAUUAUUACUACCGAAGUUAUUGCUACCCGCCUAUUUCACCUUGGCGAAUGAGAGGAGCUGGCGUUUGUGAGUCCACGUCUGCUCGUACACCUCUGCCUUGUACUUGUCUUCUUUCCCGCCAAUGUCUGAUGCCUCGAUGAUGAGUUCGUAGUUCAUUCCAGAAACAAGUUGUUGCCUGCCACUUACCACCUUGUUGAACUUGAGCACGCAGUUCACAUGCUUGCCGAACUCCAACACCGCCCAACGGCCGAGCUCCUGGAUGUGUUGGUCGUUGAUGUUUCCGAUUGGUUCCCAUCCAUUCUCAAUUGCCGUGUUCCACAAUUGGUUGCCCAUCCGUUCCCCACAGCCUAUGGCAGGUGAGCCGAUGGCAUAGAGGAACGCAACAACGAUGAUGAGGAGGAAGCUAGAUGUCCUCAUGGCUAUUGGAUUGUCUAGUGGGGUUCUUGAUCUUGAGAUAGUUAUGUGGGACUUUGGUGAAUUGGUGAUGUGAGUGGAUCCAAAACAAUUGAGGUAGCGGUGCUUAAAUAGACAUUGUUAUAAGAG